Molecule: long non-coding RNA, 69940 nt
Filed under: Nicotiana benthamiana
Lineage: Eukaryota; Viridiplantae; Streptophyta; Magnoliopsida; Solanales; Solanaceae
Description: long non-coding RNA (NBEN_LNC007378)
Source: RNAcentral
AUGAGUUUUAAAACAGGACAAAGAACUAGCGAUCCAAAAUGUUAAUGCAUGGAUAGAACAUAAAGCAUUUUAUUUGACCUCUCAAAGUGCAAUCAACAGAUAAUGAACAUUUCGUUUGAUUUCACCAGUAUCUACGUCUCCAGUUUAUUUUUUCUGAAGAGCCAAGCUGAGCCAUCGAUUAUGACUAAAAGAUUUUCAGCAUCCUAAUUAUGAACUGAAUUCAAUACUCAUACAAAAAUCCAGUAACUAAAUCAAUCGUGCAUAAAAUCAUGCCAAUUUCUGAAAGAUAUUAAACAUUACACGGUUGAAAGGAACUAGUACAUCUUAUAUUCAUUUCUGAAUUUAAAAGACUGAAAAGUCAUUUUUUUACGUUACAAUUCAACUUGCCACUUAUCGAGCGUAUUUGGCAUGUAAAAUUCUAAUUAACCUUAAUUUCAAAAAUCCAGACAUUCCGCAGCUUCCACAAUAUCACAGAGACUACACUAAAUGACUCAAAUGACUAGAAUGGAAUUGAAAUCUGUGAGAUAUAUCUUCUAAACAACCAACAACCAUAUGAGUUCAAACCAACUGCAAUAAAACCUUAUAAAUUCUUGAACAUCAAACAGAGUUUCACUUUCUUUAAUUCUGAUUCCAUAACUAACUUGAACAAUCAAUGCAAGCAUAUUCAUCAUAGUAUUAAACAGAAAUAGGGAGGACAAGAAGAAUUUGAGGCUUAGGCAACCCGAUCCAAGAUCGUACACGACUUUUGACAUGAGCUCAUUAGUUUUCCAUUCAUAAACUCAAUGUAGAAGAGAAACGAUUUGCGAACCUAUUGGGACAAGAAAGUGGACUCAAACAAAUAAAGUCUGAAGUUGUAGAGAUAGAACUCAACAAAGUUGAGACUCAGUGUUUACAGCCGAGUCGAAAAAGUUAUCACAAAACAAAUAGCACUAAAUUAGGAGACCUACAAUAUAGUUGCAAUGUUAACAAUACGCUCGGUCCGAUUUAACGAUGAAAGAAGAGGAAAACAGAACUUUGUGAAUUCUAUUAAACCUCUAGUUUCAAUUGGGACAUAAUUCACUUAUAGCCUUAACACUGAUAAGAAUCACGUCCAGUAAUAAUAUUUUUUAACCAAACUUCAACAACUCACACAUGAUGUUGUUACCCCAGUAAUGACAUCAAAUGGCAGACUAAAGGCUAACACAAUAAAAUAAACAUACUGAAAAGAGCACGUCGACAUAAAUUCUAUAAAGAAAAGCCCAACAUAUGCAUCUGUCUCGACGAGCUGCUCAUACAUUAUGAUCACAGCAACUAAAGAGAGAGUACGUCAUCACCAAACUUUAAUCACACCCCCAUACGACGGUACCAUUGAGAAAAGAAAGAACAAUAUAGAAAAAAAUAUGAACCUGGAAAUGGAGCUUUCAAUUAACGAAACUUCAACGAUUUCAACAGUUUAAACCAACUCGAAUAAAAUGAUGACUUAAAGCUUGAAACGAACAACAAGAAGAACACAGGAAUCAACCAGCUUGACUAAAGCACUGCCGAGAUUUGAGCUCCAAAAAAGCAAACUUGUCCACAACUUGAAAUUUUAAAAUCAAGAUCUAUUGAGAAAACAAAACAUUUUUCGUAUGUUUUUCUGAAACGAAGCAGAAUAAAAGGAAAAAAUUUCUCAAAGAAAGUGACAACUUCAAGAACCCUAAAUUAUUUUCUAGAUUUUCUUUAUUUCAUUUUCUCUAAACAAAAUUUCUCUGAUUUUUUCUCUCUAAAUAUUCUGUAUAUUUCCUGUCUCCCCUUUCAUAUAAGACUUACCUUAUAUAUAGAGCCUUCAAAAGUUCUUGAAUCUUCUCUGAAAAAUCCGAAAUCCUUCAGAUUUUUUGAACGAUUUUUGGAGAAAUGGAGGGCAUGGAUCGAUUUUCAUCAAUGCACGGCCCCAAUUAAUCCAACAAUCAUCCUUCGUCGUACGAAGGUUGUACAAUUUUUGAGCAAAUUUGUACACAAAUCCGUUGAGUAUCAUGUGACGUGGAGGUCUCCGAUUUUUUUCUCUCUGAAUAUUCUGUAUAUUUCGUGUAUCCCCUUUCAUACAAGACAUACCUCAUAUAUAUACCCUUCAAAAGUUCUUGAAUCUUCUCUCAAAAAUCCGAAAUCCUUCAGAUAUUUUGAACGAUUUUUGGACAAAUGGAGGGCACUGAUCGAUUUUCAUCAAUCCACGGCCCCAAUGAAUCCAGCAAUCUUCCUUCUUCGUACGAAGGUUGUACAAUUUCUGAGCAAAUUUGUACACAAAUUGGUUGAGGAUAAGGUGACGUGGACUAAUGAGUGAACUCGUAAACGAGUUAGGGCGAGUUUGAAGGCUGAGUCGUUUGGAGAAGAAGAUGAAUAGUAGAGAGGAGGGGGGGCACCACAUCUGACUGUCUCUAGGGUUACGGUUUGUUUGGGAAAAUGUUAUAAAAGGGUUUUUAUAUUAAGAGGGAAACUGACGGGUCAUUUAGGUGGGUUGGUCUGAUUUCGUUGGGCUGAACUGGUUUUGGGCUAGGGCUGUAGAGGGGGAAUUGUUUGGGCCGUGGGGAAAUAAUUUUAAGAUGGCCCUAUUUCACAAGACACACCUUCUUUCCAAUUCUUUCUUUUAUUUUUUCUAAUUUUCUUUUCUUUUAAUUAAAAUCCUAAAAAUUCAAAAUCCUAAAUAAUCCAAAGUGUGAAACUAAAAUAAUUAUAUAAUUAUAAUAUUAUAAACAACACUUAAUUCUUUAUUAAAAGUGAAAAAUUAAUAAACAAAAUUGAAAGAUAAAAAAAUGUAAAAAUGGGCUAUUUUUUGUGAUUUUCAAAUUUUAAUAAAGCAAAUGAUUAUGAUUAAUUAUAAAAAUAUAAAAAAAAAUCCUAAUGCAAUGCAUGAUAUUUUUUGAUAUUUUUCAUGAUUUAAAUAAGCAAGAAAAUGCCAAAAACUAAUAGAAAUCUACAAAAUUCCUAAAAAUAGCAAAUAAUUGAGAAAAAUCUAUUUUCUUGGAUUUAUCGGAGUAUUUCAUAUAGGCAAAAAUCAUGUGCUCACAGCUGCCCCUCUUUGCUCGGAGACACGAAGGGUUUUUGGGCAAAGAUAAAAUGAGCAAUUACGAGGGAUUUUUGCCCGUUUGAAAUUCCAUGAGAAGCGUUUUUUGAAAAGAUUCUGACCUAACCUUGCUUCAAAAGUUGCCUACAUAUCCUUGGCUAUAAAGGAAUCAGGUCAGUAUAGUUCUGGAAGUUUUGGUAGCUGGGACUACCGAUAAAGCUAAGUUUUCACUACUGUUGCUGCUAUUUCUGCUUGCUGAGCUCCUUAUUACACCAAACGAAAAGUGAAAAGCUAAGCUAGCUAGGCCUAUCAACUAUGAUUUACUAGAUUCCUAUCAAUAAAUCUUUUGAAGCUUGUUCUUGAUUCUUAGCUAGUUCUUGCUCUGUACCUCGAUCUAUCUUGAUGCUCAUCAGUUGUAGGUGCUGGUUCUUUCUUCAGCGUUUGGAUUACGGCGGAUCAUGCCAAACUUGCAACUUCGAUCAUAUCUUGAGUCGUCUACAUCUUUCUCCGCUUCAACUCUUGAAUUCGUUUUUUUGCUCUUUUUCUUUUUUUCUUUAUUCUGGGCUGAGACUCAUUCUUUCGGCCAUCUCGAAUCCCGUUGCCAUGAGGUCAACCUGCUUAAAAUGUCAAACAAACAAACGGAAUUUUCUACCCUAGUUUUCACUAGGAAAAUUUCGUGAGUUAUUUGCAACAAAAAAAUGAACUAUUUAUUCUUUUUUUUGUUUGUUUUUUUGAAAGCAAAUAAAAUAAGGAUUGUAUCUAUCUAGAAGGGAAAACACCAUGGAUGGAGCCCUAUAUCUAAAAUGUCAACUCAGGGAUUGGAGCCCUAAUGUUGGCGAAAAGACGACUAGGGAAUGGAGGCCAUAUGUCUAAAAAAGGAUCAGCUCAAGUACUGGAGCCCAAAUGUUGGCAACGACGACUAGGGAAUGGAGACCCUUUCUCAAAAAGGCUCAACUCAAGGAUUGGAGCCCUAAUGUUGGCAAAAAUGACUAGGGAAUGGAGGCUCUAUGUCUAAAAGGCUCAAACCAGGGAUUGGAGCCCUAAUGUUGGCAACGACGACUAGGGAAUAGAGACCCUGUGUCUAAAAGGCUCAGCUCAGGGAUUGGAGCCCUAAUGCUGGCUAAAGGGAAAAUGCUCAACUCAGGGAUUGGAGACCUAAUGCCUGCUAAAGGGAAAACGCUCAACUCAGGGAUUGGAGCCCUAAUGCUGGCUAAAGGAAAAACGCUCAACUCAGGGACUGGAGCCCUAAUACUGCCUAAAUGAAAAAUGCUCAACUCAAGGAUUGGAGCCCUAAUCCUGGCUAAAGGAAAAACGCUCAACUCAGGGAUUGGAGACCUAAUGCUGGCUAAAGGAAAAACGCUCAACUCGGAUUGGAGCCCUAAUGUUGGCUAAAGGGAAAAUUCUCAACUCAUGGAUUGGAGCCCUAAUGCUAGCUAAACGUUGGCUAAAGGAAAAAUUCUCAACUUAAAGAUUGGAGCCCUAAUGCUGGCUAAAGGAAAAAACGCUCAACAGAGGGAUUGGAGCCCUAAUAUUGGCUAAAGGAAAAAACUCUCAACUCAGGGAUUGGAGCCUUAAUGUCGGCUAAAGGGAAAACAUUCAACUCCGGAUUGGAGCCCUAAUGCUGGCUAAUGGGAAAAUGCUCAACUCAGGGAUUGGACUAAUGGGAAAAUGCUCAACUCAGGGAUUGGAGCCCUAAUGUUGGCUAAAGGGAAAACGCUCAACUCAGGGAUUGGAGCCCUAAUGCUGGCUAAAGGAACUCAACUCAGGGAUUGGAGCCCUAAUGCUUGUUAAAGGAAAAACGCUCAACUCAGGGAUUGGAGCCCUAAUGAUGGCUAAGGAAAAACGCUCAACUUAGGGAUUGGAGCCCUAAUGCUGGCUAAAGGAAAAUCGCUCAACUCAGGGAAUGGAGCCCUGAUGCUGGCUAACGGAAAAACACUCAACUCAGGGAUUGGAGCCCUAAUGCCGGCUAAAGGAAAAACGCUCAACUCAGGGAUUGGAGCCAUAAUGUUGGCUAAAGGAAAAACGCUCAACUCAAGGAUUGGAGCCCUAAUGCUGGCUAAAAGAAAAAUGCUCAACUCAGAGAUUGGAGCCCUAAUGCUGGCUAAAGGAAAAAUGCUCAACUUAGGGAUUGGAGCCCUAAUGUUAGCUAAAGGAAAAAUUCUCAACUCAGGGAUUUGGAGCUCUAAUGUUGGGUAAAGGAAAAACACCCAACUCAGGGAUUGGAGCCCUAAUGUUGGCUAAAGGAAAAAUGCUCAACUCAGGAAUUGGAGCCCUAAUGCUGGCUAAAGGAAAAAACGCUCAUAGCGGGAACUCUAAACUAUUCACUUUUGGGAUUUUCUUUAUUUGUUAUCUCUUUUCUCUUUUUGUGUUUUAUUUUUUUAUUUUUUUAUUCUGAUAAGAUGCAGGAAAGAACUUGGAGGAAACUCCCCUUUGCAUUGAUUAUUUGCUGCAAAGCUGUUUCAGCACUUGCAUGUUUUCUUUUGGGCUGCACCUGCUUUUUGCACGGUUGCCUGGAUUGCACCUAUUUCAAUUUUCAAAUAAAGAAUAAUUGUUAGUUUGAAAUGAUAGUUGGUUUUGUGGCCUUGAUUGCUUGAUCCCGACCCAACUUCUUUGAUGAAGAUCUCAAUUGCAAUUGCUUGUUUCCUGGGGACCAAUUUCAUUUUAGACCCUGAGAACCUCUGAUUUUUUUUUUCAAAUUUUUCCAUGACGGUUGGUCAGUGGAACUCAACCUUUUUGACUUUAUUUUGCCUUUGUUGGCCUUUCCUUUCCGACUUCAUUUUCUUUUACCAUUUUUUCUUUUCUUUGCAACAUUGGGGAAUUUUUGGCUCCUCAAACUUUUGUGCAACAGCUAGUCACGUGGGACUUGACCUUUUCCAAUUUUUCCGCCUUCGUAGGCCUUUUAUUUCUUGCUUCUUUCUUCCAACUUUAGCUUAAGAGCAUUUGGGAUCCUUUUUCUUUUCAAAUCUUUGCCGAGACGGUUAGCCACAUGGGGCUUAACCUUUUUCAACUUCAUUUGCCUUUAUAGGCACUUCGAAUUGAUUUCUCCUUCCAAGAGUUUUAGUUCUGGAGCAUCGGCCGCCAUGGCCAGUCGAGGUCGAACUGAUGCACCUGUUGAGGCUGAGUACCUUUUUGCACAUUAGCUCGCACCAAAUGAGAACCAUGUAAAUCAGUCUUUCGAUCUUUUCUUUGCCUCAUUUUGAAACAGAGUUAGACCAAAAGAGAUUCAAACAAAACAAACAAUGGAAUGGAGAAUGAGUUUAAAACAAGAAGUGUCCCUUUUGGAGAAAGGAAAAAAGGACUUAUCUGGAGUGGAUGCGCACUUCAAUGACCAUGACUUGCAUUUUAGACUGGAUGCCUGGUCUGUGUAGACCGUCCGACUCUAACAAAAUUCAUCACCAUUUUUUGCCUCAAAAUCCAGAAACCUUGCCAACACUCUGUCGGUGCCGAUGGAUGUGAGGAUCAUCUUUUGAUCAUGGGCGCCCUUUGCGGGUUUUCACAAGAUGACCUUACUCAUUUCUCUUCUUACCAUCGCCUUAUAGUGCCCGUGUGGUGUUUCACUAACAAGAGUCUCUCAUUUUGAUUUUUCUCUUCUUACCAUCGCCUUACGAUGCUUGUGUGGGUUUUCACCAAUAAGACUCUAUCAUUUUAUUUCUCUUAUUUUGGCUGUGUUAGAUCCAGCUAGCUGUAUUCUUUGAUCCUUUUACACUCUCACCGAUUGAUCGAAAGGACUUGAAAAGGAUUUGGGCUAAAAAGAGAUUGGAUGGAAUUACAGCUUCGGAACCUUUCUGGCGAACUGUCGCCGACCCAUUAUAACUUUUGUCAGAGUUUCACUUUCGGGGGAGGGGGGGCUUAGAUUUUUGUUUUGGUGUGACUGAACCCAAGAGAGAUGCUGCCUACUUAUCCUUUCGGAAUCAAGUCGAGCGUAGUUCAGGAAAUAUUUGUUUUUGGUUUUCAUUUGUUUUUUGUCUUUUUUUUUUCUAUUUUUUUGUUUUGUUUUGUUUUCUCUCUUUUUGUUUUGUUUGUUUUUCAUUUCAAUUUCUUUCUCUUUUUUUCAUCUUAUUUUUCAAUAACGCUUUCAGGUUCCGAAGAGGGCAAUCAAAGAAGAGUAACCGGCUCAAAGGGUUUGCAAAUGGUUGAUAGUGUUUGGGUAGCAAGAAUAAAAGCCUUCAUCAUCCCAACCGGAGAAAAGUUUUAUUAUAUAAAGGAUCCAACAUAGUACCUUUUGACUGCAUUGUAUUGACAGUUUUUUCAAGGACGUUUCCUUCGAUGUUUCCCAAGCACAAUCCACUCUUUUGGCUGUACUCUUGUUGUAAUGCAUGGACCUUUCCAAUUUCGGGAACUAAUUUUCCUUCAAUUGUUCCAAAUCUUUGUUUCAUUUCCUUCAGCUAAUCUUCAUUAUGACUCAAUUCUUGAUUCAUUAUUUUGAGGUCUGACAGGGUUUUAGGAUCCGGGUAUGAAGUCCCCAAGCACGUCAUGUUAUUGAAAUCUGCAUUUAACAGAACUAAAAAGAGAAUAAGAAAGAAAAAUGAUAAGAUUAAGCGAAGAGAUAUUCCUGGAAAAUGAAAUAUUAAUUUCAUUUGAUUUUUUUUUUGAUUUUUUUAAUUUUUGAAGAUAGAAGGGUUUACAUCGGAAAGUAAGACAAUAAAGUAAAACAUCCAGAUCACACCCUGAGAUAAUCUGGAUGUAUAAAGGAUAGCAAGACUGGAUACCGAGACUCCCAUAUGAUGGGAAACUUUCAUGCUUGUCGACCAUUUUUUGGCUUUUAUUCUAUCUCGGCAAUGGCUGUAAUGGCCUUCAAUGCCGGAUCAGAUUCCUCAUCUUCACAAAUCAUUCCGACUGUUGGCCUGUUGUUGUGGGCAGGUAAUAGAUUUUUCAUCAUAUCCGAAAAACAAUUCUUUCAGCUUCAAUCAAAUCUUCAACUAUCCUUUUGAGGGUCCAACAGUCCUCUGUACUGUGCCCCACUACUCCAGAGUGGUAUUCACAUAUGGCAUCAGCUCGGUGCGAGAGGGACUCGGGGUUCGGCUGAUUUGGGGCUACUGGCUACAAUAGAUCUAGCCUGACUAGAUUUUGGAACAAGAUUGAAUACGAUUCACCAAUAGGGGUGAACUGAUCCUUUCUGAAAGGCUCUCUUGGGCGAGGAUUAUAUUGGGGAAUAUUUGGUUGAGGAUUAUAUGGAGCUUGGUAAGGAUGGACAUUUCUGGGAAGUGGAGCUUAGUUUUGUGGAUAUUGUUGUGUCAGCGGGUAAGGUUGAGCGUUCAUCACCACAUAGGAGGGACAAGGCGACACAACAUAAGCAGCAUCUGAAAGGGGAUAAUAGUGUGGUGGGACGAUAAGAGGCUUAUUUGAUUCUUGAAUAACCUACGGGUCCCCCUCGAGCUUGAAACCGUCAUGGCCCCCUCUUCAAACCCACUUUUGUUCAUCAAACCCUCCGAACCAUUUUGAACAUUUGGUGAUGUGGCUUUACAACGAGCAUGACUCAAGAUUCGACCUGUUUUCGGAACCAUUUUCAACCAUUUCCCCGAUUUUGAUAGCCUCAACGAAUGACUUACCCACAAUAGACAUCAUGUUCUGGAAGUAGUUAGCCUCUUGGGCCUGCAAAAAGACUAUGACCAUUUCAGUUUCAUCCAUUGGAGGCUUUACCCUAGCAGCUUGCUCACGCCAUUUGACACCAUAUUCGCAAAAGCUUUCACCAGUUUCCUUUUUCAAAUUGGACAAAGUGUUUCUGUUGGAAGCGAUGUCCACAUUAUACUGGAACUGACAGACAAAAUCUCGAGCCAUAUCAUUCCACACAUGCCAAUGAGUAAUUUCUUGAUUCGUAUACCACUCAUAAGCGAUUCCGGUGAGGCUUUCCCCAAAAUAAGUCAUUAGAAACUCCUUUCUUCCACCAACACCCCUCUACUGGUUAUAGUAUCGUUUCAAAUGAGCGAUAGGGUCUCCGUGCCCGUUGUACUUUUAAAAUUUUGGCAUCUUGAAGCCAGCAGGCAAAUGGACAUGGGGAAACAUACAAAGGUCAGAGUAUGAGACACUCUUCUGACCACUUAGACCUUGCACAUUUUUUGGACUUUGUUCCAGGCUCUUCAUCUUUCGAGCAAUUUCCUCUUGCUCGGGAUUUGUAACAACCUUUCCUUGCUCCACUGAGAGAUCAAAUGGCGUAGGUUUAGUGAAAGAAUAUGUGGACACAUAUGUUGUGUCCGACCGAAGCUGUAGACCCUGAAACAUGAAUAUUGGAGGCGGUGCCCUUGAAGCCGGUGCCUGGGGGCGAACCACAAAAGCCAUGCGAUGAUCAUUGGAGGUCAUUGCAGGGUGCCCGCGUGGGAUGAGCUGGUUGGGUACAGGGGCAUUGGUAACCUCACUUGACCCGGGGAUCAACUCAGGGAACCCAGGGAUUGCACUUGGCGAUUCCCCACCAUUAGACCAGGCAUCCCACAUUUCCAUUAUGUGGAGACGCAACAUCUUUUCUCUUCAGCAGCAGCUAAUUCUAGCUGCAGAAUAACCGAUAUCGGGCUAUUCCCAGGACCGAUGAUUGGUAGGUUGCUUGCGGAGGCCAUUUGUGCCUUUGAAUUUUACGAAUGAAAGGAGGCUAGACUACCAACAAAACCAACCACCAAAACCUGGCUAAUUUGCACAUCCAAAAACCUUAUUAGUUUUAAAACGUUUAACAUAAAGUGAAUCACACGUUUGGGAUGCAAUGCACCUAACAGUUAAACGCUUCUACCGUGUGUUUGACAUGUUGCAUGUUUCAUCCCACCCUUAAUUAACUAUUUUUCACAAUGUACCUAUUUCAAUCAUUUCUACAUCUCUUUGAUCACUCUUGAUUUUUGUUUUUACCGCUCUUUUAUUUUUGCACUCUCUUUUCUUUUCUUUUUUUUUUUGACUCAAUUUAUUUAUGGAUAUGAUCGAAUCCGAUGAGAAUUGCCUGCGUAUUAUGACCCCGCAUGAAUCAAAUCUUGCGUACUUAGGAAGGGUCGAGAAUGGCGUAAAUAUACUAACUCUUUUUUUUAAGAAAUGCUUUAGAAGAAAAAAGUAAAUAUUUUUUUUUUGAAUUUUUAUUUUUGAUUGAUAUAUUUUUUUUGUUUUGAUUUUUUGUGUUUUUUUUGAAAGAAAAACUUCUAAAAAAAUUCAUUUUCUUUUUAUUGGAACUUCGGGAAUCUCAAAAGUAAAAGUAAAAUAUAUUUUUUUCAAUUUUUAUUUAUUUUCCCUUUUUCUAAAGAAUAAAGAAAAUAUUUUUGGGUUUUGGAAGUUGCCUCUUAAUUUUUGAAAGAGGGACUUUUAAGAAAAUAUUUUAAAUUUCUGAGCCUUUUAUUUAUUUACAAAAGUACUUCUAAAAAAGCAAAAAUAUUUAUGGAAUUUUCAAUUUUUAUGGACAUUUACAAAAGAAAUAAAAAGUAUUUUCUUAUUUUUUUCUGGAUUUUUAUUUUUUUUUGGAAAAAUAUUUUAAGGAAACCCGUAUUUGGAUUUUAAUUUUAUUGAUUUUUCUUUUUGUAUAUGAAAUAUAUUAGAAAAAAGGAAACCAUUUUUAUUUUUUUUGAGUUUAAAAACAAUUUUUUUUAAAAAAGAAAAUUUUAUGGAAAGAUUCUCAAAGAAUGGACUAAAAGAAAAUAUUUUUGGAUUUUUUUUGAAAAUUGGGGUUGGAACCGAUGAGGUUUGCCUACAUAUCUCACAUCCGGUGAGAAUCAGACCCGCGUAGUUCGGUAAGUUUUUGACAAAAAUACAUUUUUCUUUUUCUUUUUUUUUCUAAAAAAUUUGACAGAGUUUCGUGACAUUUUCAAAUACAGGGAUUUUUAGAAAUUCGGUAAAUUCCUAUCCUACCUCACUCUUGGUUUUUCUCUUUAUUAGUUGGUCAACAUGCAAGCUGAAACAAAUAAAUAUUCACAUAGCACGUAAUAUGCAUCAGGAUGGUCUUUAUUUUGGGUACACCUUUCCUAGACAGAUCCAACCCCUGUGUUGAGUCCCCAAGGUUGAAUGCAACGUGAUGCAAAUAAUCGUUCCUACUCUGGAUCCGACAUGAGGUUGCGUUAUUCUAAGUUUAAAAAACCUGGUUUUUGUGGUCUAAACUUGGGUUACCCGAGCGGACAGCUAGGGCCGAGGAGGGGGCGACGUACCAGGAGCACUAAAGUCUGCCCGGCCUUGUCGCUUGCCAGCCUCGCUCUAUUUGGUGUAUUUUCUAUAGAAAAAGCGGGCAACACGAACGUAUGCACCAUUUUCAGAAGACUCAAACGGGUGGCGUAAGAAGACAUUUAAAUACAAUUCAAGUAAUAUCAAAGCGGUAAUGGCAAUUGGCACAUUAAGUCCACAAAAUACAACAAUAUCAACAAUAAAGCCAAAUAAAAAUCACAUUAACAAGCUCGAAUUCUUGAACCCCGAACCGGAAGUUCUAGGUUAUUUAUCCCCGGUGAAGUCGCCAGAUCUGUCACACCUCCUUUUUUAUGCACCCGAAAGGAUAGUAUAUAAAGUGAGUUUUUCCAAUUAAAGUGACAUUAUUCGAUAUGAGAUUAUUUAAUUAAUUACAGAGUCGCCACUUGGGAUAAAUUAUGGUGUCCAAAGUCACCGAUUUAUUUUAAAUCCCAAAUCAAGGAAGUUUACUUUAAAAGUGUCUGCAAAUAAGAAAUUCUAAGUAAGGAAUUCUGUUAUCCCGGGGAAGGUGUUUGGCUCCCCUGGAUUCCAUGGUUCUAGCACGGCCGCUUAGCAAUUUAUAUUUGGCUUAAGUGUUUGACUACUUAUUUUUAAAAUCUAUGUGCAAUUAUCUUUUAUCGUUUUUUAAAUACUUGAUUAUUCGUAAUUAAAGAAUUGAGUUACGCGUACGUAUACUCUUAUCCUUUGGCACGUCAAAACCCAUGUCACGCAAAUGUGUAAACAAUUAAUAACGUUUUGAUUAAUUUAUUGAGAAAAAUUUGUUGAAGUUGCGCAAAUGCAUCCCUCGAGUCUUUUAGAAUUAAAUUUGCAAUUAUGUUAUGCGUACGUAUACAUGAUCACAAGACUAACCUAAAUCGAGCCUAAAGCAAACUACGACAUCCAUAAUUUAGUCAAUUUCCUGAAGUUCAUGAUUUAUUGAUUCUAGAAUUGUUCGUAUAAGCACAUAGGAGUGCAAUAAAAUUAAUUAUGUCAAUAACAAUAAGUGGAUUAACGAAUUAGUAUAAUUUUUCUGCCAUAAAACCAUUUUAAAAGAACUGCCUAUUCACUCUAUUAAUACACUUAUAGCCUUAAUACUGAUAAGAAUCACGUCCAGUAAUAACAUUUUUUAACCAAACUUCAACAACUCACACACGAUGUUGUUACCCCAGUAAUGACAUCAAAUGGCAGACUAAAGGCUACACAAUAAAAUUAACAUACUGAAAAGAGCACGUCGACAAAAAUUCUAUAAAGAAAAGCUCAACAUAUGCAUCUGUCUCGACGAGCUUCUCAUACAUUACGAUCACAGCAACUAAAGAGAGAGUACGCCAUCACCAAACUUUAAUCACACCCAUAUGACGGUAACAUUGAGAAAAGAAAGAUAAACAUAGCAAAAGGAAGAAAUAUGAACCUGGAAAUGGAGAUUUCAAUUAACGAAACUUCAACGAUUACAACAGUUUAAACCAACUCGAAUAAAACGACGACUUAAAGCUUGAAACGAACAACAACAAGAACACAGGAAUCAACCAGCUUGACUGAAGCACUGGAGAGAUUUGAGCUCCAAAAAAAGGAAACUGGUCCACAACUUGAAAUUUUAAAAUCAAGAUCUAUUGAGAAAACAAAACCUUUUUCGUAUGUUUUUCUGAAAAGAAACAGAAUAAAAGGAAAAAAUUGGUUGAAGAAAGUGACAACUUUAAGAACCCUAAAUUAUUUUCUAGAUUUUCUGUUUUUGAUUUUUCUCUAAACAAAAUCUCUCUGAUUUUUUCUCUCUGAAUAUUCUGUAUAUUUCCUGCCUCCCCUUUCAUACAAGACUUACCUCAUAUAUAUAGCCUUCAAAAGUUCUUGAAUCGUCUCUCAAAAAUCCGAAAUCGUUCAGAUAUUUUGAACGAUAUUUGGACAAAUGGAGGGCAUGGAUCGAUUUUCAUCAAUCCAAGUCCCCAAUUAAUCAAGCAAUCGUCCUUCUUCAUACGAAGGUUGUACAAUUUCUGAGCAAAUUUGUACACAAAUCCAUUGAGGAUAAGGUGACGUGGAGGGGGGGACCAAUGAGUGAACUCGUAAACGAGUUAGGGAAAGUUUGAAGGCUGAGUCGUUUGGAGAAGAAGAUGAAUAGUAGAGAGAAGCGGGGCAUCGUAUCUGACUGUCUCUAGGGUUAGGGGUUUUUCGGGAAAAUGAUAUAAAAGGGUUUUUAUAUUAAGAGGGAAACAGACGGUUCAAUUAGGUGGGUUGGUCUGAUUUCGUUGGGCUGAACCGGUUUUGGGCUGGGGUUGUAGAGGGAGAAUUGUUUGGGCUGUGGGGAAAUAAUUUAAAGAUGGCCCAAUUUCACAAGACACACCGUCUUUCCAAUUCUUUCUUUUAUUUUUUCUAAUUUUCUUUUUCUUUUAAUUAAAAUCCUAAAAUUUAAAAAUCCUAAAUUAUCCAAAGUGUGAAACUAAACUAGUUAGAUAAUUAUAAGAUUAUAAACAACACUUAAUUCUAUAUUAAAAGUGAAAAAUUAAUAAACAUAAUUGAAAGAUAAAAAAAUGUAAAAAUGGGAUAUUUUUUGUGAUUUUCAAACUUUAAUAAAGCAAAUGAUUAUGAUUAAUUCUAAAAAUAUAAAAACAAAUUCUAAAUGCAAUGCAUGAUAUUUUUUGAUAUUUUUCAUGAUUUAGAUAAGCAAGAAAAAUGCAAACAAUUAAUAGAAAUCUACAAAAUUCCUAAAUAUAGCAAAUAAUUAAGAAAAAUCUAUUUUCUUGGAUUUAUAGGAGUAUUUAAUAUAGGCAAAAUCACGUGCUCACAGCUCGUAAUUGUUAUCAACUGGAUUCUCAGUCAAAUGAUCAGCUAAAGCCUGUGCUUUCAUUGCAGUCCGUGUCACAUAGAUAAUAUCAAACUCUGUAAGCAAAAUCUGCCACUUUGCAAGCCUUCUCGUGGGCAUAGGCUUCUGGAAAAUAUACUUCAGUGGAUCUAACCGAGAUAUGAGGUAAGUAGUGUAGGACGACAAAUAAUGUUUCAAUUUCUGCGUCACACAAGUUAGGGCGCAACACGUCCUCUCCAGAUGAGUGUACUUAACCUCGUAAGAUGUGAACUUUUUUUUGAGAUAGUAGAUCUCCUGCUCCUUCCUGCCAGUAACAUGAUGCUGCCCCAGUACGCAGCCAAAGGAAUUAUCCAAGACCUUCAGAUACAGAAUCAAAGUCCUCCCUGGUUCUGGAAAAAUCAACAUGGGUGGGUUCGACAAAUAUCCCUUUAUCUUAUCAAAAGCUUUCUGACAUUCAUCCGUCCAUUUAUCUGCGGAACCUUUCUUUAGCAGUAUGAAAAUGGGCUCACAAGUAGUUGUGACCUGAGCAAUGAACCUGCUAAUGUAGUUCAAUCUUACCGACAAACUCAUCACAUCAGUUUUGUUUCUCGCAGGCGGCAAUUCCUGAAUGUCCUUAAUCUUUGAUGGAUCCAAUUCAAUACCCCUGUGACUGACUACAAACCCUAGAAACUUUCCAUAUGGCACCCCGAAAGCAAACUUUGCAGGAUUGAGCUUGAGAUUGUACCCGCGAAACCUUUGAAAGAAUUUCCUCAAAUCCCUGACAUGGUCAGACUGCUGCCUUAAUUUCACAAUCACAUCAUCUAUGUACACCUCAAUCUCUUUAUGUAUCAUAUCAUAGAAAUCGUUGUCAUAGCCCUCAUGUAGGUUUACCCAACAUUUUUCAAACCAAAUGGCAUGACCCGAUAGCAGUAUGUUCCCCACGGCGUGAUGAAUGCCAUCUUCUCUGCAUCUUCCUCGUCCAUUAAGAUCUGAUGGUAACCCGCAUAACAAUCCACCAAAGAACCAAUCUCAUGUUUGGCACAAUUGUCGAUUAAUAUGUUGAUGUUUAGCAAUGGAAAGUUGUCUUUGGACUCACCUUGUUAAGAUCUCGAUAAUCAACGCACACCCUUGUUUUGCCAUCUUUCUUUCGUAUAGGCACAACAUUAGCGAACCAGGUAGGAUACCUCGUGACCCGUAUGACCUUUGCAUUAAACAUUUUAGUAAUCUCUUAUUUAAUCUUCACACUCAUGUAUGUUUUAAACUUCAUCAGUUUCUACUUAACAGGAGGGAGUGAUGGAUAGGCGGGCAGUUUGUGAGCUACCAGAUCAAUACUCGACCCUAGCAUAUCAUUGUAGGACCAAGCAAAAACGUCUAUUUAUUCCAACAACGCCGCGAUUAUUUCUUCCUUAAGUUGCAACUCCUGAUGAACACUAAUUUUACUUUCACGGACAUUAUCUUGGUCCCCUAGGUUAACUGCUUCUGUGUCAUUUAAGUUCGGUCUGGGUUUUUCCUCAAAGUGUUUUAAUUCCAUACUAAUUUCUUCAUAGGCCUCAUCAUCAUCAUAUUCCUCUUCAUCAUCACAUUCAAUUUAUUAUAUUAUUAUUUCUGAGUUAGGUUGGCUUAUAAAAUUGGGCCGAGAAGUCCUCAUGCAUGUCAUGUCAUUGAUAUCAGCAUAAAAAGAACUGUACAGAAAAGAAACGAUCCAACUAACCAGUUUUUCAAUUGUUAUAAAUUGGGCCGAGAAGUCCUCAUGCAUGUCAUGUCAUUGAUAUCAGCAUAAAAAGAACUGUACAGAAGAAAAAUGGAAACAAAAUUAUGAAAGAAGAAGGAAAGAAAAUUUCAUUUCAUUAAAACAUAAAUAUAACAAGGCUUAGCUCAUCCAAAUGGAUGGAACAUAUUCACAAUGAUUACAAAUCUUGGAAUAAUCUAGGUGAAAACAAAAAGAAAAAAUAAAAUCCCACUACCGGGAUUCCCUCCGAACAGGCAGAGGAGUGGCUUCCCAAUUAUUGAUCCUAGCAUGUGGCCCAAUGUGCUAAAUGUCUGCAUUAUUGGAACCUUCACCAGCCUCAACUAUGUUUACUUCAGAAAAUACCCUCUCAAACACUUUGCCCAAAUUUCCCUCUGCACCAAUCCGUGGACCCGUCGCCUGUGUUGAUAACUGCUUUUGGCCCUUGGCCUGACGAAGGACAUGGACAGACACGGAAUAGGUUUGGUAAGAACCCAAGUUUUUUUUUCAACUUGAGAGCCUUUCUGACAUAUGCUGUUGUUGGCUUGAAUCCCAGCCCAAAGGUGUCCAAUUUCUUGGGCAAGGAAACGGGUUGAACAAUGCCCUGAAGCUUAGCCCCUAGACCUUUCCUUGGAACGAAAGGUCGCAGCUGACACCCUAAGACUAGAAAUGCUCUUACCCUCCGGCACUCUGUUCACUAGGAUUGUGUCGAAGACCUGAUAGACCCAUUGCCCCUUAUCAUCAUCAGUUUCUAUAAAUGGCACAAUGGCAUCGCUCACUGCACAUGCGGGAUCUUCCCCAUGUAACAUAGUUUCUUAUCUAUCCCACUCGAAUUUGACCAUCUGGUGCAAUGUGGAAGGCACUUCCCCAUCACCACCACCGCCUUGUCUUUCAUCCUUUCCGGCUGAAUUACUGGCUUUACUUCAGGUGCCUUUUCUUUCUCCUUGGCUUCAAUAGAAUGAAUCAUCAUGGUUGUCUGCGAGGGCUUUUUAGACUCUCCCUUUUGUAUCAGUUUGAUCAUGUUAGUCUCGUGAUGCGCUUGCAACAGGUUUUGGUUGAUAUUUUGCACCUCCGGAGCCUGUACCUUGAUAUGACGAUUGUCAAUAAGUUCUUGUACCACAUUCUUCAAUUUCCAGCACUUCUCAGUAUCGUGCCCUAUCAUCCUUGAGCGAUAUUGACAACUAACAGAGUGGUCCAGGUUUUUGGGAGGGAAAUUUGGCACUUUGGUUUCGAUUGGGGUCAACAUACCCAGCUGCUUAAAUCUAUGAAAGAGAGUGGUAUAAGAUUCUCCCAGCGGAGUGAUUGUUUUUUUGAUUGGGCCCUUCCCAUUUUUAAUAGACUGAUUUGGACGAAAGCCAGUUCCUGUUCUAUUAGCCCUAGCAGGUGGAUAGGUGUUUUGUGGAGGUGGGUAGGUGUUUUUUUGAGGUGGAUAUGUGCUCUGGAGAGUCAGCCCACGCCAUUGCGGGUGAGCCGGAGACUGGUUGUAUGUCUGGGUGUGGUGGACAACAAAGUGUGGUUCGAUUGGUGGAUAGUAAUGUAGUAGAGGGAUAUAUGGGGUAUAUGUGUAAUUUGGGUGAUGAGGGGUGAGUUGGUUAUAUUGAGGCGGAGGGUUAUGAGGCCAGGACCAGGUACUAGCUUCAACCGUGCCAACUUCUUCUUUCUUCUUCUUUCCAAGAACACCACCAUGCAGCUUUGGAUGGCCUAUGUGGUUGCUUUCAAUGCCAAAUAACUCAAGAUUUUGUUGGAUUUCAAUCCUUCUUCGAUCAUGGCUCCCAUUUUUACCACUUUGUUGAAUGACUUCCCAACAGACGUCACUAGAUGACCAAAAUAGGUAGGCUCCAAUACUUGCAAGAAGUAAUCUACAGUCUCGCUCUCCCUUGUAGGAGGGUCAACCCUGGCUGCCUAUUCCUUCCAACAGAAACCAAAUUCUAUAAAACUUUCUGCGGGCUUCUUUUCUAACUUCAACAAUGAUAUACGAUCGGGGACUAUCUCAAGCUUGUACUGAAAAUUGCCGAUAAAUGCUUGUGCCAGAUCAUCCCAUAUAUACCAUCGACCGCGGUCCUAUCCCGUGUACCACUCCAGCGUGGAACCCCUUAGACUUUGACCAAAAUAGGCUAUCAGCAGUUCAUCCUUUCCUCCAACCCCUCUUAUUUUGCUGCAAAAACCUCGAAGGUGAGCCAAGGGUCGCCCUGUACCUCGUACAAAUCGAACUUUGGAAUUUUAAACCCUGCGGGUAACUGGAUGUCAGGAAAAGGGCACAGAUCCUUGUAAGAAACACUGACUUGGUUGCCCAAGCCGUGCAUAUUCCUAAAGGAUUGAUACAGGCUUUUGACUUUAUGGAUUACUUCUUCCUGUUCAGCGUUCUUGACGGGUUUCUCAACUUCUCUCGGGGCCUCAGAGUGGGGUGUGUAAGGAUAUGGCUCAAAAGCUUUGAAAGUGGGAUCAGAAGGGUAAUAUUGAGUGUCAUGAGCUUAGAACAGUGGCUCACUCGAGGAUCUAUGUAAUGUGGCUGGGGGAGGUUCCACAAAGACUGGAACCAUGGGCGGAGGCGGAUUUUGUUUGGGUGGUGGAGCAGGAGUAGCAUAUGACGUGGUACCAUAGCCCUGGGCGGGAUAGGGAAAAACUGAAGAUGCGUGGGGAGUGUUGGGAUCCAGAGCCUGCGCUAGGGGUGGAAUAUAGGCGGGGUUGGCAGCGUAUAAUGGUGUCGAGUUCCCCUGAGACCAUGCCCGAUGCAUUUUGGCCAUUUGUGCUUUUAGUUUCCUCAUUUCCUCUUUCAUAGCAUCCACAACUAUUACUUCAGCUUCAUUUGUGGGAUCCAUAAUACUGACGUCUGCAUUUUGUCCUGUCAUAUUUGCUUUAUAUUUUGACCGGGUGUUGUAUGGAUGAGUUGCCAGAAUGCUGAAUCAACUAACCACCUGGCUCGAAUCACACAUUUGGACAACAACUUGAUUAGUGAUUAGACUUUAACAAAUUAGGUAGCCGCACGUUGGCAUGAAUGCACCUAUACAGUUAACCAUUUCUAUUACGCCUUUGCUCGACUGCAUGUGUCAUCCCAGCUUUUUAUUAGUUCCGUCAAAAUUUUCGGUUCAUUUUCUCUCUCUCUCUUUAUUUCUUUUUCGCUUUCUUAUUCUAUCUUUUCUUUGCUUUUUGCUCUUUAUAUUUUUGCUCUCUUUCCUUACUCUCAUUCCUUUUUUCCUUAUUUUUCCGUUCUUUUCUUUCUUUCUCAUUUUCUGUUUCUCUCUUUUUUUCUUCUUUUUUUUCUUUUUUAAUGCUAUGGAGAUUGCCUACGUAUCAUGACCCUGCACGAAUCAGACCAAGCGUAGUUCGUGAAAAUAUGAUCAAAAAUAAGAAUGGAAAUAAAAUUUAUGGAAUUUUCAAUUUUCAUUACGAAAACAAACUAUUACAAAUUAAACAUUUUUGCGGAAUGAAAAUAACAGACAUAAACUAAAACAAAACAUAGACACAAGACUACCAGCAUACUUGACAUGAAACGAUAAUGGUAAAUCAGACAACAGACUCAAGAGUAAAAAGCUACAGGCAUGGACUAUGCAUAUUCUAAAGCCUCAUAUCUAGGUGCCCGGGGGGCGUCGUUCGGCCUUUCCGUGGGCCUAGGAUCUAAAUCCCUUUUAAUUUUCUCUAAUUUAUUCAUGGUUCGCUUCACAUAGAUCAUUAUUCCCGGGACAAAAGUAGUAUAGGUCAUAUCUUCACAAUCCCGGCAUCUUCUCAAAAUGGCGUGAGCGAUGGCGCUGAUCCUGUCUUUGGGUUGCUUCUUUUUUACGAGUAGACGUCUUAUCUCAUUACUGCAUGUAUUUAGGGCUUGGGAAUCUUGCAGAUGAUGACUCUGCAAAUGCUGCACCUCUACCUCCAUUCGGGCCAACAGGUCAUAACAGUGCCCUUUUUCAAUCUCAAAAUCCCUGGCUUGCUUAACAGUUUUACCUUCGAGGGCAGCCACCUUCUUCUUUAGAUUAGAAACAAUUUGCUCAUGGUCCCUUUUUAAUUGAUUCAAAUACCGACGAAGCUCACUUGUUCUUUCAGCCCACUGCGCCUUGAGCUCUGCCAUGUCCUUCUCAGAUUUUUCUAAUUCAUUUUGACAUUCCCUGAGCUCAUUUUCCAAUCCUUAUAUCAACCACUCAUCUGAUCGACUCCUUGGUCGCUUAUUUGCGGUUAUUAUCAACUGCCGGAUUUGGGCCUUAAGUGCUUCAUUUUCUCAAGCCAGACUCUCUUUCUUACCCUGAUCUGUGGAAACCUGUACACUAUUCUCAAACUUCAGACUUUCAACUUGUUGCUUCAGUUUACCAAUCUCAGCUCGGUAGCCUUCUUCUUUGGCUAACCAAUCCCAUUGUCCUAGUGAUGAUUCAGUAAAACCUUGAAUCUGGGGUCUCUUAGACGGUCUCCGAUGCUCGAGUUCCUUUUUGUACCAUGCAAUGUAUUCUGGCACUACUUCUCCUUUGGCCUAAUUUUGCACACAAGUAUUUUCUUGCAAAUAUUGGCGUUCAUUCCAAAUCUUACGGACUAUUGCCUCGGGAAUCUGUCCUGUCAGAGCUAAUCUCAAUUACUUGAACACUAAGAUCUUCUUCCCGUGGUACUGCUUGGCAUCUUUCGAGCCGUCUCAGAACUCGACAUAGAGCAUAUGGUUGGAUGCUCUUAAGUCCUAUUAGAAGAAAAUGCGACCUAGCUGCUGGCAUGUAUACGAUUUCUUCAACAGGCAAUCAUCGCAAUGUCCACUGUAUCUGACUGGCCUUAGGAGUACGAAAGUAUGAUACCCAUGUUUUUAUCCAUUAAGGCAGACUAACCCCAUCAAUAAUGGUAUAAAACUCUCCGAUACAGGUUUUGUCAGGAAACUCGUAACUCAAAGGAUGGGAACAGUGGCAUAGGUGCUCAGUCAUCAUCAUUUGUAGCAACAAAUUACACCCCUCUAAGAAAUUGCUCGCGGCUUUGCAAACAGUGAGAGCCUAGAAUGUCAGACACGAUCAUGUCGUAAGAGUUCCCUCCUCUUGAGUAUACAAGGUACUGACGAUCCCGGCUAUUCUUAUAUCAAUAUUUUCAUCUUUCCUCGGGAACACUAAGAGGCCCAAAAAGGCUAUCAUGAAAGCCCACCUGUCUGUGCUCGUCCCAUUUUGACGGUUAUUUAUACUGCACAGCUUAAUGUCCGGCUUGUUAAAUUCUCCCACGUGACCAUACCUAUUGUAUAUGAAGCGGAAGCUGUAGAAACCCUUUGCCAAAUCUGGAUGGUGAACUAUCUGAGGUAUUUUCAAAAAAUCUAGAAAUCGAUGCACCGUGAUAGCUCUUGAAGUGACCACAUAUUUUUCUUUCAGCGGAACCUCAGCAUUUCCGAUGUACCCAGUGAUUUCUUCCAGAGUCGGUGUGAGCUCAAAAUCUGGAAAGUGGAAGACAUUGUGCGCCGGGUCCCAGCAAAUGACCAAUGCUUUUAUACUAUCACCCCGAGGCUGGAUGUAUAAUAAACCCGUGACACCUUUCAAAUAUUUCUUUACUUCGUCAUGCCCUUCUUUGCCUAAGUGAUUCCACCAUAAUCGCAACUCAAAUGGGAUUUUGGUCAUUAUUGAAAAGGGUUCGUUUAGCACCGUGCUCAUCCUGCACAUUUAUUAAGGUGAUUAAGCGAAAGAAAACUUUUAUUUGACUCAGAAUAAAACUAUCUAUAUUCUUUUCCUAAUUUUCAAAACAAUGAAAGCCCGGUUUUCGAACACGUCCUUUUAGCACUUCGGGAACGAAGAUUUUAAGGUUGUGAUGGUCAACCGGCCAAAAAUAGAAAAUUGACCAAGACGGCCAUUUUGCAAAGUCAGCCUUUCGGCGUCCCUUUUGGGAAAAUUCAACUAUUACUGACAAAAACGGCGUCACCUCGACUUAUUAAUGAUAAAACAUUUGACAUUUUUAGGCUAUUUUUCGUAAAAGGGAGGUUGGACCCGAUGAGGAUUACCUACGUAUCUCACACCCUGUGAGAAUCAAACCAUGCGUAGUUCGGGCAGAUUAACCGAACCAUUUUAAAACAAGACUCUUUUUUUAUUUUCAUUUUUCAUGGCAAGACAAACUAUUUUUCCUUUUCUAUUUUUGAAAACCAGACAAAAUACGACUCUUUUCCAUUUUCAACAACCUAUUUUUCCAAACUAAAAUACGACUUUUUUUCUAUUUUUCCUUUUCAACAAACAAAAAACAACAUAUUUUCCAAACUAAAAAUAAAGAUUCUUUUCUUUUCCCUUCAACACACAAUAAAACAACCUAUUUUUUCAAAGUUAAGUCUAAGGGUUUCAAAAUAAGCAGAUCUAAGACAGAAUACCUGGAGUGCAAGUUCAGUGUCGAGCCGAGCGAAGUAGGCAGGGACGUAAUGAUUGGAUCCCAGGUCAUCGCCAAGAGGGACAGUGUCAGAUAUCUUGGGUCGGUGAUUCAGNNNNNNNNNNNNNNNNNNNNNNNNNNNNNNNNNNNNNNNNNNNNNNNNNNNNNNNNNNNNNNNNNNNNNNNNNNNNNNNNNNNNNNNNNNNNNNNNNNNNNNNNNNNNNNNNNNNNNNNNNNNNNNNNNNNNNNNNNNNNNNNNNNNNNNNNNNNNNNNNNNNNNNNNNNNNNNNNNNNNNNNNNNNNNNNNNNNNNNNNNNNNNNNNNNNNNNNNNNNNNNNNNNNNNNNNNNNNNNNNNNNNNNNNNNNNNNNNNNNNNNNNNNNNNNNNNNNNNNNNNNNNNNNNNNNNNNNNNNNNNNNNNNNNNNNNNNNNNNNNNNNNNNNNNNNNNNNNNNNNNNNNNNNNNNNNNNNNNNNNNNNNNNNNNNNNNNNNNNNNNNNNNNNNNNNNNNNNNNNNNNNNNNNNNNNNNNNNNNNNNNNNNNNNNNNNNNNNNNNNNNNNNNNNNNNNNNNNNNNNNNNNNNNNNNNNNNNNNNNNNNNNNNNNNNNNNNNNNNNNNNNNNNNNNNNNNNNNNNNNNNNNNNNNNNNNNNNNNNNNNNNNNNNNNNNNNNNNNNNNNNNNNNNNNNNNNNNNNNNNNNNNNNNNNNNNNNNNNNNNNNNNNNNNNNNNNNNNNNNNNNNNNNNNNNNNNNNNNNNNNNNNNNNNNNNNNNNNNNNNNNNNNNNNNNNNNNNNNNNNNNNNNNNNNNNNNNNNNNNNNNNNNNNNNNNNNNNNNNNNNNNNNNNNNNNNNNNNNNNNNNNNNNNNNNNNNNNNNNNNNNNNNNNNNNNNNNNNNNNNNNNNNNNNNNNNNNNNNNNNNNNNNNNGUGGAUGAGAAGAUGCGAGAAGCGAGACUGAGGUGGUUCGGGCAUGUGCGGAGGAGAAGUCCUGAUGCCCCGGUGAGGAGUUGUGAGCGGCUGGCGAUUCUCGGCGUUCGACGAGGCAAAGGGAGGCCUAAGAGGUAUCGGGGAGAGUUGAUUAGACACGACAUGGGUAGAAUGCGGGUUUCCGAGGACAUGACCCUUGAUAGAAAAGUCUGGAGGUCUAGCAUCAGGAUUGUAGGAUAGGGGCUCCUAGAGUUUUUCGUACUCCUCACCCAGGGUUGGGUGAGGCUUGGCAGGCCUAUCCAUAGAUGAUUUGUGUUUUGGAUUGUGUCUCACUUAUGGUAGUUAUUUAUGGCAGUUACUUUAUGAUAUUAUUGCAUGAUAUUUAUUUAUGGUUCUUAUGUUUGGAUAAUUAUUUACGUUAUCUCUGCUGGAUUUACUACUGCUAUUUUGUUUUUAUUUUUGUUUUUACUUUCCUUCACUGAGCCGAUGGUCGAUUGGAAACAACCUCCUUGCCCUUUCGAGUAGGGGUAAGGCUAGUCUACAUAUUACCCUCCCCAGACCCGACUUUGUGGUGGGACUAUACUGGGUAGUUGUUGUUGUUGUUUUUCAAAGUUAAAAGACACUUUGUUUCUUUUCCAAAAACAAUUUCCAAAAAAUGAAAGACUCAUUUUCUAUUUUUUCGUUUCUUUUUAAUAAAACAAAAUAAAACUUUUUCCUUCUUUUUCAAAACUUCGGCAGAGUUUCGGCAGUACUUAGGCACUAUUUUUUUCUAAAAUUGUCAAUUAAUUCCCUAACAACUAUAUCUUGCUCUUUCUCUUUUCUUUUUUUCUCAAUCUUCUUAACAUUUCCGAGAUUCAAACGCCGGUCAACAUGCAGGUGCGAAACAAAUAUAUGUACAGAAUAAGUAAGAUGCAUCAUGAUGGUCUUUAUUCAUUUCACGUUGCUAGUCCUAGACGGACCCAACCCCUAUGUUGAGUCCCCUAAGUCAAAUCCAGCAUGACGCAAAUAAGCGUUCCUACUAGGGAUCCUGCAUGAAGUCACGUUAUUCUAGGUUCAAAAUCUGGGUAUGUGUUCUAGACUGUGUAACCGAGCGUACAACUCGAGUCGAGGAGUGUCAACGUACUGGUAACCUGCGAGAUCAUCCGGCUUUGCAACUUAUCCGGCCUCUUUCUUAUUUCAGGGUAUGAAACUAGCAGAAUAGGGAGUCCCAACCAGUAAGCACAUCCCCAGAGGUGAAGAGAGAAGGGUGUCGGCACAAUUUAUAUACAAUUUAAAUAAUAUCAGUGCGGUAACAUUUAGCACAUUAAGCAUGAAAUAUAUGGGAAAAUAAGAUAUAGCCAAAUACAAUAAUUUAUCUAAGCUCGAAUUUCGAAACCUGAAAGGGCCCCGCAAAGGGAGUAAAGGAGUUUUUCCAAUUAAAGGACAAUCGGAACGGGAUUUGGUUAUUAAUUAUUUCAGAGUCACCACUUGGGAGAUUAAUGGUGUCCCAAGUCACCGAUUGAAUCCCGAGCCGAGGAAAAAGAUGAUUCUGUUCACAGUCUGCGAACCAGAAAUCCGGAUAAAGAAUUCCAUUAACCUGGGAAAUGUGUUAGGCACAAAUUUGUCGAGAUUUGGAUUUGGUUUGUAUCAAUGCACACCCGAGUUUAAGAAAUUGCUUUAAUUAAAACGCGUCUAAAGAUUAUAGGGUAUUAUUACUUUGGGGAAGACCGUGAAAUUCGCUAAACGACCCUCCCGAAUUCUAAGUAAUUUUACAUAACCAUUAUUAAGGGCCCCCGUGAUUUGUUUUUGUUUUGGCGAGGCUCGGCUACUCAUUUUAUUAGAAGGCCAACCUAAAAGUGACUACGAUUUUUUAUUUUUAUUUUUGUCUUUACGAAGAAAUUAAAAUCUGAUUACUUAUUAUUGCCAAUGUCAGGCCUUGAGUUCAGACCCCAAGUUCAAUCAAACCUACAUUCCUAGAUCCGCACACGAACUGAUUCAUAAUUUAAAACUGAAGUACUGCAAUUAGCAAUUAACACGAACAACUUACUAAGUUAAAACUGAUUAUAUUCACUAUGGUGCCUAAAACAUGAUCACAUUAAAAUGCUCAACCGUUUUACUACAUAAACUAGUCUUCUUACCUAAUUGAUAUCAAACACUUCAUACAAAUUACUGAAACUCAGAAAAUCAACCGAGAAAUUGAAACUAUUUCAUUAAUUCCACAUGAAACCAGUUAUAAUUAAUAAUCAACCUAGAACUCAUGGUUUUUUUCUAAAUAUACCCAUGCACGCCUAAGAAAUCAAACAAGCAGAAUCAUGAUUCAGAGUUUAUUAGUUCAACUUAUACAACCCAGGAUCAAUAUUAAUACAUAAAUGUCAUGCAAUAUCAAGUAAGCUAGCUAAUUUCACAUUAAAAUAGAAUCAAGGAUGAAUCUCAGAGAUCAAUUUCAAAUAGCAGUAUUACUUCAUUUCAUAGCUUGAGGGCUAAGCACAUGUACCUGGAGUUUGAAUUACAAUGAGAAGAAGAAAUGGUCAGUCACAGUAGUGUAACAGUGACAGCAACACACAUUUUUCAGCAGAUUUGAGUAACCAACAGCCCAGGAGAAAAUUUAAACAGACGGGAGGAGUUUGAAACUCAACAGCACCAGAAAACUCAACACAAACAUCUUGAAUGAAUUCAGAAAUUCUAAAACUCGAGCCCAGAAAAGAUCUAUCACACCAGGAGGAUUUUGAAAUCAAAUAACACCUCAAAUCAAACACAAGUGACCCCAGAAUCAACUUAGGAAGUUUCAGCAAUAAGAAGGACAUCGAGAUCAACCAGUAGCAAACAGAAACCACCACCCAACACUUGAAUAAACCUGAACUCUAGCUAGGAUUUUAAUGAAAUAGUAAACUGCAUUUUUUGGGUUUUUUGGAUAUUUCUACUGUUUUUGGGAUUUAUUUUAAAUUUCAAAUACUAAAUUCAAAACUAAAAUGAAGAGCAAAUGGUUUUCUGCAGGAAUUUUAGAGCUGGAAGUUGAACCUCUUUUACAAGGCAUUUGAUGCCCUUUUAUAGGUAGAAAUUGGGGCAGCCUCAGCUUUUUGUUUGGAAACUUAACCCCUAAUUAUUUCCAGCCUAAAUCCCUCAAUUUCUAACUUGCCGCUCAAGUUACUGCCCUAAGUCUAUUGAAAAAUACACUAAAAUCCUAUUCUAGAAGCCUCUACGACACUCUUUUAGCAAGACAAUUGCUACACUACCCUUCCCCUGUUUUAAAAUUACAAUUUUUAAAGAUUCUACCCUUUUCUAUCCCUAAAAUCCCUUGACUAGCCCCUCAAAUUAUUGUCUUAGUUAACUACACCAAGCCCUUACCCAGUUAACGUUUAACCCAAGCAACUAAUCAAAAGACUUCUCAGCUAUAUCCAAUUCAACUAUCCUAAAACCUACCUUAGCACUAAAUUGAAUCACAAACUGCAAAUGAAACAAAUCAACUCCUAAGUUCAAAUUGCAAUCAAAUAGAAUAAACAAAGAAACCAAAUUACGCUACCACAAUUAGUAAUUAAUGACUGAGCAUUCAAGCUAUAAACAAUCAAAUCGAAAUCAAAAUUUAAGUAAAGAAAUGAAAAUUAUCCUAACAUGAAUUACCCUAAAUACUGCUAACAAACAAGGAGGGAAAAUUAAUGCUAAACUUCGAAUGAAAACUAAAACAAUAUAAUUGAAUCACAAACUGCAAUUGAAACAAAUCAACUCCCAAGUUCAAACUGCAAUCGAACGGAAUAAACAAAGAAAUCAAAUUACGCUACCACAAUUAGUAAUUAAUGAGUGAGCAUUCAAGCUAUCAACAAUCAAAUCGAAAUCAGAAUUUAAGUAAAUAAAUGAAAAUUAUCCUAACAUGAAUUAUCCUAAAUACUGCUAACAAACAAGGAGGGAAAAUUGAAGCUAAACUUCGAAUGAAAACUAAAAGAUACUUAACUAAAAUAAACAAAGAAAAUCAACUAGAAGCAGAGACUGAAGAACAGGAAUAUGAAAAACUUACUGCUGAUUAAUCUUAACGAAAAGCCUUCGAAAUUAACUUCGAGUUAAUGUUAUAGGUCCAUCUCGUAAGGGAUAAACUCAUAACGUUAACCCGGGUCAACUCGUCUUAACAAAUCGACCAAAUAGUCUGAAGCUAUGACCUUAGACCCAAAGAUAAAAAACUUCACAAAGAUUAGAAGGGUUUUAAACAAGGAUUCGAGAUGAGGAGAGACAGGAGACUAUCUAGUAUCAAUUUGGACUGGUUUGGAUGAAUUUGUGAUCUGGCCGAAAAUUUCGAUUCAAUAUUUGAAAUGCCUGGCUUUGAUUCGAGGGACACCAUUAGCAGAUAUGAGAAGAAGAGGAUGAAGGGAGUUUGGGGUGUUAAUUUGGUGGGGUUUGGAGUAGGCGCCGCCACUGGCGGCCUAAGGAUUUAGGGGCUACGGGAUUAGGGUUCUUGAGAGGAUGGGGGUGUGAAGAAGAUGAGAACUGGGGAGGGGGAGCGUUCGAACAUAUAUAUAUAUUAUUUCCUCCUCAGUUCACAGCCGUUCGAUCAUUUACCUCGACGGUCCAGAUUAAAAAUCAUGGAACGACGUCGUUUCGAGUUAUGGGGAAUGGAGCGGGUAGAUGGGGAUUGGGCUUGGGCGACGGGUGUGGGUUCAAUUAAUCUCUUCGGCUAAAUAAAAUUAGUGUAACACCCCAGAAAUUAGGCGGCCCACUUUGGUAUUCCUUUUUUUUUUCUUUCUUAUUUCAAUUAUUUCUUUUAUCUUUUUUUUUGUGUUUUAAUAUAAAUAUUUUUCGUUUUUUCUGAUUUUAUAAAAUUGCAACACUACAAAUCCUAAUAUAUUUAAUCUGAACUAAACGAUUCCUAAAUUAUUGUAAAAUAUAUUUUAUGACAAAUUCCAAAUAAAAAUGAUUGAAAUGUAAAAUGAACUAAUUUUUUUUUGUGAUUUUCAUGCUUUGUUCUAAACCAAAUUAACCCCUAAUUAAUAUUAAAAUAUGGAAUUAAAUGCAAAGUGCAAAUGUAUAUUUUUGUAUUUAUAUUAAUUAUCAUGCACAAAUAAAAUAUAAACAAUUACCACAAAAUUCAAUAGAAAUUGUAAAAUAAUAAGAAAAUUAUUUUAUUUAAAUUUUUGGAAUAAUUUUCUUAGGGAAAAAAAUACGUGCUCACAUGUUUUUAUAAUUAUAAUCAUGUAACGUGAAUGUAUCCACAAUCACAACGAUAUAUUAAACGUGCCUAGAGCUAGCUACAAAUAUUCAUUUUAGAAACCGUGAGCAAGUUCAAAUCAGGAGAAUUCAGCUAUAGCCAAUUCGAGUAAACAUACGAGUAGAUAGAUAAAUUUGAAAAUUCAAAACUACGGAAAACAAGUACAAAAUCAAUGGGAAAUAUCACCAAGCCAAUAAUUAAUAUCAAGCUUUCAUAAAAUGAAUUGAGGAUGAAAGAGUUGAACCUCAAUAAAGCCGAACAAUUGAUUGUUUCACUACUUUGAACUCAAGAUGUAUCGAACCACAUACAGAACUAUGAACUCGAGAUCUAUCGAACCACGGACCAAACUCGAAUUAGAAUCGAAGAUGGAGCUCAACCAAGCUCGUACUCAAACCCAUAUUUUAACCAAAGUUCAUUCCUGAACACCAAGAAAACAGAAUUGAAAAAAUGGAAAACAUGAGUCUGUAAUUUUUAUUUUCCCCGUCUUAUGUCCGUUUGUUUUACUUGAUAGUGUAAUUUUUGUGAAGUUUUGUCUCGUUUCCUUCUUCAGAUCUAUCCCACCAUGUUUCCCCUUUCCCGUUCCCCUAUAUCCCAUUCUGUAUUUCCUAAUUUGGGUUUCACCUGAAAGAGUAGCUUAACGCUAUUAAGGCAGGAGAAGAAGCGGCGCUUGACAGCGAAGGUGUCAGAGGCGGAGUGGACGACAACGGUUUGGGAGGAUUGGUGAUGUGGUUUUGAGAAGAAGAAUAAGAAAAUUGCAGAAGCUAAGCUAAAAGAUAGCUUUCAUAAAUCUGAAUAGAAUAGUCUACAACUUCAGCUAUUACAAGGCUCUCUUAGCUUAGGACUAAAUUCUAUAGUAAAUAACUAGUGGACUGAAAUGUAAAUAAGACAAGGACUAAACUAAAACGUUGAGGACUUAGUAACUACUAUAACUAACUUUAUGCAAGUACUACUACCAAAGCUUAAAGUACCACUCCCGUCUGCACAACUCUCACUAAGGACAUAUCAGUACCCCCCCCCCCCUCAAAAUAUUCCUUGACCUCAAGGAAUGAAUGUAGGAAAUCAGACUUUAAUGGCAUUUGAAUCUUCCCAUAUUGCUUGAUCUUCUGAAAAAUAUUCCCAUUGAACUGAAAAUUGGACCAUGACUUUAUUCCCCUUCUGAAUCAUCAUUCUAUCAAGUAUCUUGGCUGGGAUGGGACAGUAAGGACUGGACAAAUCUAGAAUGGGAGGAUGGUUCACCUUAGUUGGUACUUCAUAACAAGAUUUAAGGAGUGAAGCAUGAAAAGUUGGGUGAAAGAGUAACUGAGAAGGUAGGUCAAGUUUAUAGGCUACAGUUCCAACCCUUUCCAAUAUCUGAUAUAGACCAUAGUAUUUGUCAGAGAGUUUGGUGAAAUGCCUUGUGGACAGAGUUAAAUGGCUGUAGGGUUGCACUUUCAAGUAGACACAAUCACCUACUUUAUAUUUCCUGUCAGUCCUAUAUUUAUUAGCACGAUGCACCAUCCAUUGUUGAGACCUGGUCAAAUAAAACUUCAAAAGUUGCAGCUUCAACUCUCUGGUAGAUAGGCUCCUGUCUACCUCUUCUAUAUCAGAAUCCCCAGAAACAUAAGGUAGGUGUAAAGGUGGAGGUUGGCCAUAUAGAGCCUCUUAGGGAGUGGUCUGAAUUGAAGUGUGAAAUGUUGUAUAUUACCACCAUUCAACAAAAUUGAGAUUACGCACAUAAUCCUUGGGAGAGUCAGAACAAUAGCACCUAAGGUAGGUCUCAAAAAAUCUGUUUAUGACCUCAAUCUAGCCAUCCGAUUGAGGGUGGUAGGCAGUAGAGGUGCUCAAGGUAACCCCUUGUAUUGCAAACAAUUCUUGCCACAACUUGCUGUUGAACACUGGGUCCCUAUUACUCACAAUAUCAGCUGUUAUACCAUGCAAUUUAAAAAGUGUUCCAUGAAGAGUUUAGCUAUAUCCAAGGCAGAAUAGGGUGUUUGAUAAAGCUAUGAAGUGAGUAUACUUAGUUAACCUAUCAACAACCACCCAAAUAACCUCUUUUCCCUUGGAUUUAGAUAGUCCUUCAAUAAAAUUCAUACUGAUGCUACUCCAAGCCACUGAUGGGAUUGGUAGGGGCUGAAACAACCCAGGAUAUGCAGAGGGGUCAUAUUUACUCUUCUGACACACAUCACACUUCUUAACAUACAGCCCAAUAUCCAUUUUCAAUCCCUUGCAAUAGAAGAGUGAGGCCACUCUCCUAUAUGUAUGAUCUAUCCAAGAGUGUCCCCCUCCUACAGAAUUGUGCCACAAUUUCAGAGUUUCUUGCCUCAACCCUUGAUCAUCCCAAUUACUAACUUCCUUUUCUUCCUUAGUUGUCGGUUGAUGUAGGAAUACCCCUUGACCUCUUCAUUGUGGCCUAUCAAAUGUUGCUUUAACUCUUUCACCUUAGAAUCAACCUUCCAACUGUCCUUGAUAGUUUGCAACCAAUCAGUUCUCAUAGAAGAUAGGGUCACUGAUACCAACUGAGCUGCCAAAAGCCUAAAUAGGGCAUUGGCAGCCUUGUUCUCCUUUCCAUUUUGAAUUGUAUCUCAAAAUAAAGUUGCAUCAAUUUAGUAAUCCACUUAAGUUGAGCUCCAGUGUGCAGCUUUUGAUCCAACAAAAAUUUAAGGGCCUUCUUAUCAGUCUUGAUUAUAAAGUGUCUGCCUAUCAAAUAUUUCCCCCACUUGGUGAUAGCCAUGACCAAGGCCAGUAACUCCUUGUCAUAUACAGACAUAGCUUGGUGUUAUGUGGAUAAACCUUUACUCAAGUAGGUAAUUGGUUGUCCUGACUGCAUAAGGACAGCUCCAAUUCCCACAUAACAAGCAUCUGUUUCCACUAUAAAUAGGGAGUUGAAUAAGAUAGAGCCAAAACAGGUGCAGUAGUUAGAGCCAUCUUGAGAUUUUCAAAUGCUGCAGUGGCCUAGUCAGUCCACUUGAAAUGGUCCUUUUUAAGAAAAUCUAUCAAUGGAUUGCUUAUGUGCCCAUAACCUCUGAUAAAUCUCCUAUAGUAGCCUGCUAGACCAAGGAACCCCCUCAAUUGCUUAAUAGUAGUAUGUGUAGGCCAGUGUUGAACAACUUGAAUUUUCUUAGGAUCAGUAGCCACUCCCUUGGCAGAGAUGAAAUGGCCUAAAUACUCCAUACUAGCCAAAACAAACUGACACUUGUUCCUUUUAGCAUAGAGCUGGUGAUGCAUUAGAAGGCUGAAAGUUAUCCGCAAAUGCUCAACAUGAUCUUCCAAGCUCUUGCUAAAAAUUGGAAUGUCAUAAAAAAGGACCAAGAUAAACUUUCUCAGAUGUUCCUGAAACACAUGAUUCAUCAAUCCUUGGAAGCUAGAAGGGUCAUUAGUCAGUCCAAAGGGCAUGACUAGGUACUCAUAAUGGCCUGAGUAUGUUCUGGAAGAAGUUUUAUGAAUAUUUUCUGGUGCCAUUCUUAUUUGGUGAUACCCAGAUCGAAGGUCUAUUUUAUAAUACACUUAGGAACCACCUAAUGCAUCCAACAACUCUUCAAUUAUAUGAAUAUGGUCCUUAUCCUUGAUGGUGAUCUAAUUAAGUGCCUGUGAUCCACACAAAUCCUCCAGUUGCCAUCUUUCUUUCCCACAUUACUACAACAAGUCCUUUUGUGGCAAUUAUUUAGCGGCAAUAAGGCAAUGGUCGCUAUAAAUUAUUUAAGCUUAAAUAAUAGUGGCAUAUGACCAUUAGCCAGUAAAACAUAUAUCCUUUUACCGGCAAUAAAAAAUAAUAGCCACAAAAAAUUACCAAUUGAAAUCAAUCUAUUAUUAUUUUCACUUUCCCUCCGCUCAAAGAAAAGAAAAUCUUUUCCUCCAAUUUUUUGGAUACCUUUUAUCGUAUCCCACCUCAAUUAGAAAACAAUAGAACGAAAACAUUGUAUUGUUUCCCUCCCCAGUUGAAUCAACUUCGCUGCCAAAAAGACUCGACUCACUGUUGUGUCAAUGCCAGUGUGGCAACUUUUAUGCGAUUUACAGUGCAUCAACGACAGUUCCCUUCUUCUUCCUAGGUAAAUUCGCUUCUCUUUGAUUUACAGUCGAUCUACAGUAGAUCACUCCAAAAUGAUUUACAAUGCGUCAAUGAUAGUGUUAACUUCUCUUCUUCCAAUCGAUUUAUUGUAGAUUAACAAUAAAUCGGUUCCUUGCAAUUGAUUUACAGUAGAUUUUCUAUUGAUGUUGGUCGAUUGAUUUGCAGUAAAUCAGUUCCUAACUUGCUAUUGCGUUAACAACUGUUGUAGUGCCCGUCCAUCUUCUUCCCAUGUUGACUUCUCUUUUUUCCUGGUUAAAUCAGUCAUUUUCAAUCGAUCUAUAAUAGAUUUUGGAUUGAUGCUUGUCGAUUGAUUUAAAUAGAUUAUGUGCAAUUUAAUCUAGUAAAAGUCAUGCUAUAUGGCUACUCUUUUUUGGAUGUAGAAAAUCCUGAUUUAGGAAGUUUGUUUUGGCCGCUUAUCUUUAUAUCUAAAUUUCUCCUAUGUUAUAAACCAAUUUUUGGGAAAGAAACUCAUAUACUUGCCAAGGUUAAUGUUCUUGUACAUAGGAUUCGUGUUCUGUAUGAAACAAUGUAUGUAGAAUGGACAAAGAUUUUCAGAUCCUUUAAUAAGUAUGGACGCCCUUUGUUACUUUAAGAAUGACUUUCAAAUGGUGUAAAACAGGCCCUCGACUAUUCAUAUAUCAGAUUAAACUUUGUUAAGUGCUUAGAUAAUGAAUAUAAAUAUAUAGAUUACCGCUUGGAUAAAUUUUUGAUUGCAAAAUAUGCAUAUGAAACUUAAUGUGUAAAACAUGUAUAAAAACCAGCCUAUUACAUGGAUAGCCGCAAAGAGAUGUGACCAUUUGUUUUCCCAAGUAGUUCUCAGUAUUUGUUUGGGUCUAUAUUUCUUGUCGAAUGAAAUUUGCGUUUUGUAGAUAUUGCAGAAUUAAGAAUCAAACAAUGUUAUGUUGUAACUAUCACUGCCCAACGCCAAAAUACAAUGCUCCAAUGUCUGGAUUGCAGCUUUCCUAUGUGUUCUGAGCUUUUGUCAUCUCCAGUUGCUUAUGUUAUUUCGAAUAUUCCAAAACACAAUGCUCCAAUGUCUGCAUUGCAGUUUUCCUAUGUGUUCUGAGAUUUUUUCUUCUCCAGUUGCUUAUGUUAUUUCGAAUAUUCAAAAAGUGUUCUUCCCUGACCUUGCCUGGAUGUAUGUAUGUAUUUUUAAAGUCUCCUUGUACAUUAAACAAAUCCACAAAAAGGCACCACUACUCAUCUGAAUACUAGAUUCAUCUUUGCAGCAUCCAUGGACAUAAUUGGCCCAGUCCAUUUUGAAGAUAUCUAUGAAAAUGACCAAUUAAUGUUCGAUGCCAAAACUUAGAUGAUUCAUUCAUGUGCAUUUGAGGUGUUAACUUGCAUUAGGUAGUCCAUUCCAAACACCUCAUUUGCUCUUGUUUUAGCUUGCCAAAUAUAAAUUCUGGGCAGCAUAGCACUCAUCCUCGCUUCUAUGCUUGUGCCUAACUUUAACUCCUUCCAGAUGAGUGCACAGCACUAAUACCACCAACUGUAAUUCUAUUAAAGCAUAGGGCAUAGACACAGUAUUUUUCCCUGCAAAAGAUAACAUAGUGUUAGUGAAGAUCUUCAUCACCAUGCUCGUCUCCAUCUAGAUUUGAACAUGAUGAUGCAUUGAGUAAACACCCUUAGAUUCUAUCCAUGUAUGAUCAGUUGUUCUGUUACAAUGAUUUUGAUAUAAUAUUGCAUCAAUUCCACCAACAUAUUUAAUAUAAACCAUUUUGAACCCUGAACUGAUCCACCAAAAGUCAUAUCAUGUAGUUCUAUACCAAUUGUGUACAUAUGCAAAUCUGCCUAUUUUAAGGGUUGAUAUAUGUGAGCCCCAAUGUAAUUCUAUUCUAGAUCUUUGUUGGAGUAUUUCCUGUGAGUUUACGAUAUUAAUCUCAAUUUGAUUUCCACUCCAAUCACAUCAUGUAAUCCUAUUAUAGCUUGCCAAAAGAGGUCGCCUAUCACAGUAAAUCUGGGCAGCAUAGUACUCCUUAUUGUUUCUAUGUUUAUGCCUAUCUUUGGCUUCCUUUUUAGUGUAGUGAGUGCAUAGCACUAAUACCACCAGCUGAAAAUCCACCAAAGUAUAGGGCAUAGGUACAGUAACUUGCCCUGUAAAAAAGAAAACAAAGUUAAUAAAAAGUGUAAUCACCAUGUUCUUUUCUUUAAGGAUUUGAACAUAAUGAUAUUUUGUGUAAACUCCAAUUGUCUGCUCCUCAAGCUUUCUCUCCUCCAUAUGGAUUGAUCAUUAUAAUCGAUUAUAUUCUCACUGCUAGGACGAGGCAGAAUUAGCUGUUGCACGUUAUCAUCUCCAAAAGUUGGUAAGUUAAUUCCAACAUCCUCCUCGUGUGUAAGCGCAACAAAAACAUUUUGAGUUAUGAUAAUUUUUGCGACAUUCUGUCGCACAACAAGAAAAGUUAACUGUUGCUACGUAUUUUCCACAACUGGAGAGUGACCUUGCCUACUUGAAGAUCACACCACUUCUUUCCAGCCAUCCCUAGUGAUAUUAUUUGUUGUCCCAGCAUUAACAGUAAUAGUUGUUUCUGCACCAACUUCAGCCGUAACGUAGUUAUUUUUGCACCCCUUGUCGCCUGGUUCUGGUCAUUAGAGAAUUGCUCAGCAGUAGUAGUAACAACCUCUGUCAACCUCACCACACCAUAAAGUGAGAAAACAUUAGGAGACUUAGUUUGCUCAAGUACAAUUUUUGAGAGUUCUUAGCUUUUGUAAAUGUUGCCUUAAACCUGCAAUCAUCUUCUCAGUCACACGAUCAGCUCCAUUAGAAUUAUGUGAAAUGUAGGCAGGGUCGAUUAAAAUGGUAGCAUGCGCAGAAAAAGCUAUUGUAUUUUGUGGCUUAGUGACUUCCAAGCCUUAUCCAAAAGCACGAUCCAACUGCUCGAUCCAUCACAGAAACAUUAGCAUCCUUCAGCUUUUGAGAAACCUGAACAAGAGUUUCUAGUUGACCUAUAUUCUUAUCAUGCUUCCUUAAUUUGAUGAGAGACUACAUAGUGGAUGAAAUAUGAUAAAUUAACCUGCUGACUGUCGCUUUAAGAUUACUUUAUUUUAUCUUUUUCUCUGUCUGUUCUAAUCAAUUUGAUUGAAAUGUUCGUAUUUUAGCUUAGUUGUUUUUGCUUAUAGAUGUUAGGUGAGGGAGUUUGCUACUCUAACAGUGAUGAAAUCUUCAAGUUGUUUUUACACAUUAUACUUUAUCUUUUGACACAAUUACUUUAUAAUUUCAGGUCAUACCGUCUGAUGUUGGAUAAUUUAAUGGUUGAAAUAUUUUAAAAUGAUGAAAAGUUGCAGAAAUUAUUUGAAAACCAUCAUUUGGAUUAGUUAUAUAAUGACAUUAACUAUUUAGUCUAAACAAUAUAUUUUUAUGUUUUAAGUUACUGUGAUAUUAAUAUUUUUGAUUAGCACUUCUUUUUUGUUUGUAAGAUUAAUGAUAUACAUUAUAUUUUUAAAUUAAUAUUAAUAUAUUUGAGUCUUAUUAUGUACAAAUGUAGUAACUGUUAUUAAUUGUGGCUGAACUAUUUAUAAUUGAUGUAAAACAAAUGUCGUUAAAGAUAAUGACUUUUAGCGACAAUUUAGUUAAAUAUAUUAGUCAUUAGAAUGGAAGCUAAAAGAGCAAACUAAUAUGUUUUUAGAAGGGAUAUUAUGGUCAUUUUAAUUGCCAAGAAAUAAUUUCCAUCAAAGAUGCGAACUUUUAGUGGCAAUUAUUUUUAAUUUAGCGACUACAAAAAAUAGAUGAUAAAGAAGUAUAAUUAGUCGUUUGGAUUGGAUUUAGUAGACAUUAUAAUUGCCACAAAUAAUUGCUUUGGAGAUAAUUAUUUUGAAUGUAGCGGCUAUAAUAAUGGACCCUAAAGAAGUAUAAUUAGCCGUUUUGGAUUAGAUUUAGUAACCAUUAUAAUUACAGCAAAUAAUUAUCGUUAAAGAUAAAAACACUUAGCGGCAAUAAAAUAUACCAUUUACCAGGUUUUGCGAGAAUAGCUGUUAAAAGCUUUGCCGACCCAGUUUUAGCGGCAAAAGGCUAAUGGCUGGUAAAAGGUAUAGCGGCUAUAAUUAUCGCUGUUAAAGCCAUUUAUUCCCACUAAAGGUCUUAUUUGUAGUAGUGACUAGAACCAUAGGGGAUGCAGAAGGACUACAACUAUUUUGAAUCAGUCCUUGAGACUUCAGUUCCUUAACCAUUUGCUCGAUUACAUCUUUCUGAACAAGAGAGUACCUAUAAGACCUUGAGUUGAUUGGUUCAACCCUCUCUUUCAAAUGAAUAUGGUGAUUGAAACACUUUCUAAGUGGUGGUAGCCAUGUAAGCUCUUGAAAGACUGGUUCACAUUCCUGCAACACUUGUUGAAUCUUGAGGGGUUCUGUCCCUAGCUGUUUCUCCUCCAUUUCUCCUGAAUAAGAAACUCUCAUCAUAAACAGCUGAACAUUGUCUCUAGUAGACUUGUGAAGGGAAGCGAAUUCCACCAUUUUAAGCUUAAGUAUAAUUCUUUGUAAUGCAAACAGUUUCCCCUCAUAGUUAAACUCCAUGGUUAGCUGUUUGAAAUUAAACACAAUGUCCCCUAAGGUACUGAGCCACUGAACCCCCAACACCAUAUCACAAGUGCCCCAUGGAAGCAGUAAGAAAUCAGCUCUAAAGACUAUGUUAUGCAACAACCAUUCCAGCCUUCCACAUUCGAGGGAUAGGUACUGAAUUUCCAUCAGCAAGAAUAGCAUCCAACACCUUGCAAGGGUCUACUCUCCAGCCCAUCCUAGCUAUCAAUCCAUUAUCGAUGAUGUUGUGGGUAGAUCCACUAUCAAUCAAUAUAUUCAAAGGUUUCCUGUGAGAGUACCCCAUAUGUCUAAUUGUUUGAUACCCUUGAGUGCCCCGCAGAACAUGGAUAGAAAUCUCACAAGUUUCAGUAGUUUCCUCCUCACUAGUGAGCCUUCCCCCAAUCCUUCAAUGAGUUAUACUUCCUCCACUAAUUCCAUCAUGUACACCUAUGUUUGCUCUUGCAAAUGUAUCCGGGAUGAAACUUUUCAUCACAUAGGAAACAUAGUCCUUGAGCCCUUUUUUCAUUCAAUUCAACCUAAGUUAGCCUUCUUCUUUUAAACUUAUCAGCUUCCACUGGUUGGGUUGGUUUGGGUAGACGGUAAGCAGGUAAAGUUGAGGGUUUAUGGAAGUGCAGAAACUGGUUUUAUCUAGGAUUAGAGUGUAGAAUGGCUUGUUUCAUAGCUUUAGACUGUUUAGCAAAUAUGGAUUCCUGGAGCCUAACCAGAUGAUAAGCUUGGGGGGGUAAGGAAUAAGGCUUCAAAAUCCUUACUGCAUCUCCUAAUUUAGGUUUAUGCCCUUCUAAUACUUUGCUCAUAGCAUAACCAGGUUCCAAAUUGAGCCUUGUAAUCGCUCUGUUAAAAGCUGCCUGAAACUCUACCACCCCUUCCGUUUGCUUGAGCUUCACCAAUUCACUCAUAUAGUCAUCAAAUUCAGCACCAAACCUGUCUAAUAAGGCCCAAAUGUACUCCUCCCAGCUUAGGUAAGGGAGUUGCAAAUGAGCCCUUCCCCUCAUGUAAGCCCUAUUGCAUUGAAGUGCUAGGUCAUCUAAGUGCAUGGAAGUCACCCUUACCCUUUUGUAAUGGGAAACAUUGUCCAUUGAAAGAAAUUGUUCGAUAUGAUACCACCAAUCUUGGAACCCUUUUCCUCCAAACCUUAGAAACCCAAUCAUGUAUUGUCUCAGAAUAAAGCAUGGUUGCUGGUGGUUCCACCCAGUGUAGUAAUAUUCAGGGCCUGGAGUAAACUAGUGUGUGAUCUGAGGUGGGUAUAGUUUGUUUGUGGUUCGUUGGUGCAGGUACAUGGGUAUGUGUACUGGGUUAGUAAUGGAACAUGGAAUAGAGCAAGAGAUCUGACCAUUGGUUCCGAUAGCUAGAGUAAGGUGCUGAGAAUUAGGGGCAGAGAGAGGGUGAAAUUGAAAGGCUGAACUAGGUAUAUAUUGAGAGUGUAUAGACUGGGUGAAUUGGGAGGUGCAGUUGAAGAAAAAUUGUUUGCUGGUUGGAAAAUAGGUGCGUGAAGUGAAGUAGGGGUAGGCAAGGUUGACGAUGGGGAAAUUUGACUGGAGCUAGGGUUCUUAUUCAUGGGUAAUUGCAGCGGCAUGAGCCUAUUUCCUCUGAUAUUGGAAUUCAAAGGAGGAAAAGAAAUAGGUUCAUCAAUACCCAAAUUUCGAAGGGUCCGUCAGUUUGGGAAUACUGCUCCUCUGUAUUGGACACAUCAGAAAUGCUUCUUUCCCUCGAUCCAAGUUGCUACCAGCAGUAAGGGUUUCCUUGAGCUCGUAAAAUGCCAUCUCGUUGGCUGAUUCCAACUGGUUCUGCCUCAAAUUAACAUUCUCCAAUUCAAUGGCUACUCAAUCUAAUCGAUUGAGUGCCUCAUUGAUUUCCCCUGACAUCAUGUAUCCCACAGAGCAGAAAGUGCUCUGAUACCACUGAUGUGGUUUUGAGAAGAAGAAUAAGAAAAUUGCAGAAGUUAAGCUAAGAAGAAGAGCUAAGAGAUAUUUUCAUAAAUAUGAAUAGAGUAGUGUACAACUUCAGCUAUUACAAGGCUUUCUUAGCUUAGGACUAAAUGGAAAAAUAAAUAACAAGUGGACUGAAAUGUAAAUAAGACAAGGACUAAACUAUAACAUUUAGGAAUUAGUAACUAUUAUAACUAAUUUUAUUCCUAUUCUACUACUAAAGCUUAAAGUACCACUCCCGUCUGCACAGUUCUCAUUCAUGUCAUAUUAGUUGGUCGUGGAAGGCUGCUUAUGGGUAGUCAUUUUUUUCUUUAUUGUCUUAGGGUUUAAGUUUGUCCACUCCUUCAGGUGUCUAGGAAAUGGAGAAUGAAUGGUUUUUAUGGUUAGAAUAAAAAUGGGUCAGCUGAUAUACGAGAGGUGAGGGAGGGGUGUGGACGUUAGGAUUCUUUAGGUGAGUUGAAGGCUGGUGGUGGUUGAUCUUGGUGGUGCGGCUGGUUGCCGUUUUAAGAUGGUGUGGUUAGAGGGUCUGUGUUCUGGCGGGUUUUAGGCAGCAAGGUCGGCAACUUGGGUUGGGGUCACAUUUUGGUUCUACUGUGUCUGGAGAUAAGGGGCCGUUGGAAGGCUGUUGUGUUUUUUCUUAAGAGGAUGGGGUGUGAGGAAGAUGAAAUACAGGGGUGGGGUCUCCUGUCAAAAACAGCAAUGAUAAGGUCUAGGGUCUUAGAGUUUAGGUUAUUUUUUGUAUAUUUUUUGGUUAUAUAGAAAGGGUUUUUAGGUUAAGGGGUAUGAGUUUGGUACUAUUAUGCCUUAAAAUUGGGCCAAAGACUAAAAAAAUAGACUACAAGAUUAAAAUGAGAUAAACUAACCCGAGACUAACUCUUUCUUCUAAAUAUACAAUUUAUAAUAUAAAACUAUAAAACUAAUCUUAAUUUUUUGAACUAAACUAUAUUAAAACAUGAAACUAUUUUUGUGCUUUCAAGAUUAUAUAAAAAUAAAAAUAAGGUACUAUUUUUUUAUAUUUUUUAUUUAAAUUUACGAAAGAUACGUAAAUUAAAAUAUUUUUGUAAUUUUUAUUUUUUGUGACGAAAUAAAGUAAAAGAUUCAAAAUUAGUUGAAAUAAAGAUAUUAGGCCUAAACUAAAUAUUACAUGCUAAAAUAUAAAAUCUUGAGGACGAUCAAAAAUCACAUGUCUACAGCUGCCCCUCUUUGACUGGAAAUAGAAAAUAUUUUCAGACGGAGAACGACUAGACAAGUUUUUUGACCAGACCCUUAUUUAGGGAGACCAAGAACUAAGAGGAAGGAGAAUGUGACCGAGCUUUGGUAUUUGAGUUACCUACAUAUCCUUGGAUAUAAAGGAAUCAGGCCACAUGUAGUUCAUAAGUGAAUGAGGUGAUGAAGUAUACCGAGGUGGAGAGCAAAUCGAGGUGUCGUUCCGUCGAGGUUAUGGUCUGCGGUCCUAUCAUUACAUCAAAAUCUAAAAUUGAAAAAUACUAACUAAGCAUGUAAACUAUGAGUUACAAGAUUCCUAUCUAUAAGUGUUCCGAAGUUUGAUCUUAAGUCUUGAAUGGUUCUUCAUGCAGACUUUGUAUUUGAACCUUGACGCUUGCUAGUUGCAGGUGCUAGUUCAUUCUUCUUCAGCUUUUCGAAUCAAACCGAACACACCAUGCUUGUGACUUUAGUCAUGUCUUGAGCAAUCAACCUAUUGUCUCGACUUCUGCAUUUUGAUUUACUUUUUUUCUUUCUUUUUUUUAGACUACUUCUAUUGGUCACCUAGGAUUGUUGACUCACAUUCUUUCCAUGAGCUUCUGCUACUUCUACUUGAAUUGAAUUUUGAAAUGAAUUCCCUCAUUCUCCAAGUGGGUGACUGCUACUGACUUGGAACUUGAAAUAUGUUCCCUUAUUCUUCAGGUAGGCGCCUGAAAUUAGAACAACAAAACAAACAAGAUUUUCUGCCCCAGUUUGCGCUAGAAAGAUUUGUGAGUUGUUAGAAAAACAGUAAACCACUUUUGAUUAGACACACCAUGCUUGUGACUUCAGUCAUGUCUUGAAAAACUCACAUCUUUCAUCAACUUCUGCAUUUGGAUUCACUUCUUGCCUUUCUUUUUUUUUUAUUCUGGAUUGUGACUAAAUUUUGUUGAUCGUCUCAGAUUGUUGACUCACAUUCUUGCCGCGAGCUUCUUUUGUUGCUGACUUGAAUUGCAUUUUGAAGUGAAUUCCCAUGUUUCCAGAUGGGUGCCUGAUUGCCAAAACUUGAAUUGUCUUUCUUUGAAACUUGAAUCUUUUUUCCUUGUUCUCUAGGUGGGGGCCUGAUUGCUGAACUUGAACUGUCUUCCUUUGAAACCGCUUUCCCUUGAAACUUGAACUAUCUUCCCUUGUUCUCCAGGUGGGCGCCUGAUUGUUGAACUAGAACUGUCUUCCUUUGAAACUGUUUUCCCUUGAAACUUGAACUGUCUUCCCUUUUUCUCCAAGUAGGCGUCUGAUUGCUAAAACUUGAAUUGGUUUCUUUUGAAACUGCUUUCCCUAAAACUUGAAAUGCGUUCCCUUGUUCUCUAGGUGGGCGCCUGAUUGUUGAAAUCUGAACUGCUUUUCCCUAAAACUUGUUUGCUUUCCUUUGUUCUCUAGAUGGGCUCCUGAUUGCUGAACUCGAACUGAUUCCUCUUGAAAGUUGAGUCGUUUUUCCUUGUUCUCUAGGUGGGCGCCUGACUGCUGAAUUUGGCCCGCUUUCCCUUGAAACUUGAGCAAAUUUCCAUUAUUCUCUAGGUGGGCGCCUGAUUGUUGUACUUGAACAACGUUUCCCUGAAACUUGAGAUAUUUUCCCUUGUUCUCAAGGUGGGAGCCUGAUUGCUGAACUUAAGUGCUUUCCCUUGUAACAUUAACUUUCUUCCCUUGUUCUCCAAAUGGGUUCCUGAUUACAAUAAAACAGACAAAACAAAAGAAAUUUAUAUGCCCCGGUUUGAUAUCAGGAACAUCUAUGAUUGUUAAAUGACUUUUGUUAUCAAAAGAAAUUCUAAGCCAAAUUCCCUUAUCCUGAAGAAUUCAAACCAAAACUCACCUUAAAAGUGAAAACUUGAAAGCUAGAUUAUAUUUUGCAAAAGGUAUAACUCUAGUCAGACCUUGUCAUUUGCGAAGGUCUCAAAACUUACUAAAUCUUGUUAUCCCGGAAGGUCCUAACAACUUACAGUCAAGCCUGUCUAGCACCUCCUUUCCACACGGAGGGUUUCUUCGGAGUAAACGAGAUUUCCUGCACAUGUUUCAAUCAAAGAAAACUUGUGAAUUUAAACAUGGCGGUUGGUUUGUGGCCUUGACUUUGAGAACGAUUGCCCAUUCACUUCCCGUGGUAACUUUGAUUUUAAUUCGAAAGACCUUCCUUGUUUAUUGACUAACCACUUCCUCUUUCACCCUUAUCACAAAAAAUACGUUUAAUCCGUUCAAAACCAACACCCUCUGUCUGUUGCAUUGUUCAUAAAUUAAUAUAUACUGAACCUUUGUGUUUCACAUGAAUCCCAACGAUCGUUGAUUGUUACCAACUCAGUGUACACACUGCUCUUUCUUGACUUAUGCCACUUUGAUGCACUAGCUAGACUCCACUUUGUGCAAUUGGAAAGUUGGUAGCGUAUUUUGAAGUCAUUUCUCACUGGUUUUGACCAAAUUGACUCAUAAGAGGAUUUGAACAGCAAAAGUAGCAGAUUAAGGGACAAUGGAAAGACAUGAGAUCUACCAAGAAAAUUACAAAGUAGAAACUUAUCAGAUGUGGAUACCAACUUUAAUGACCAUGACACGCAUUUUGGAUUAAUGGCCUAAUCUGUCAAGAAAGUCUAAUGUUCAACUCUUGUUGUACCUCUUUGCCAUGAAACUGGGCUUCCAUACUCCGAUUAUUCUAUCUGAUUCACAUUCCUUGUUCGAUUUGUGAUGCCCGAAGGGUUUUCACCAUCAUGCCUCUUUCAUUUCGUUCUUUCUCUCAACUCAUUGUCGUUUUAUGGUGCAUGUGUAGGUUUUCACCAAUAAGACUCUCUCAUUUUGUUCUUUUCUUUUUAUUUCCUCUGAUUCGUAUAUGACAAGGAAUUACCCAUAGUAAAAACAUUAUAUGCUUCUGGCAUGUCUAGAUCGACACUCUAAAAGAUUAUAUAGGAGGUCAUUACUGAACCGUAAUGUGGCUUUUGGACAGGGUCAGAAAGAAAAGGAUUUCAUAAAGUCUCAUAUCAACUUGAAUGAGUUCAGCAUUACAACUUUUGGAAUCAGAUCUUUCAUAAACCGCAACUUUUGCCCCAUUUUCCUUGCCUGGUGAAUUUUAAAUUUUUAUUUUGAUAGGACUGAACCGUGAGGCUGUCUACGUAUCCUUAUAAGGAAUUAGGUCAAAUGUAGUUCAUGACAUAUGAAUUGCUUUGGUUUUUGUACUUUUUGUUUCUUUUCUCUCUUUUCUUCUUUUUUCCUUUUCUUUUCUUUUCUUUUCUUUCUUUUGCUUUACUUACUCUUUUUUUCAAUUUCUUUUCUCUUUUCCUCUUCUCUUUUUCCUCUUUCCUCCUUUUUUAUAUAUCUUUUGUAUCUAUGUUUCUAAACUUUGCCAAUGAUUCCAAAAGAGGGGUAUGAAAGAAAACAAAUAAGGCCCAAAAGGGGUAACAAAGGAUAUAGUGUUUAGAUAGCAGAAAGAGGUCUUCCCAAUCUUUUAAGAAUACUAAGUGCAACACAUGCAACCUGAAGAUGAAAAAUCAAGAUCAUGCCUGGCAUUUUGUUUGCAUCAUCGGCAUUCGUAUCACAGAUAUGCCUUCCACCUUUCUUUAGUUCUUUAUCAAGUACAAAGCUCUUCUUGGAUGACAUCUACAUCAAAAUAGAUGUGCUCCAUCAAUUUAGAGCAAACUCCCUUGGCUUUAUGUUGUAACUUGAGAUGCACUUGAACUGAAAGUUGCUUGCUUUAAAUUGUCUGGGAUGUACUUUCUUGUAAUAAAUUCUUGUCAUCCUCUUAACUUCCCAAACCAUCUGCCCAGUUUCAACAAUUUAGGCUUUAAAUGAUCUCAAAAUAUCCAAAUCUAUACUUAUUUCCCUCAAAUGUCCCUAUCAUUUUCAAACUUGUUUCAUCACUUCAUGAUUAAACUAACUUUUAAGACCAGGCCUAGAAUUAUGUGUGCAUGUCAUGUCACUACAGCCAUCAUGAAAAGAACUAUAAAAGGAGAAGAGAACUAAAAAAAAAAUGACUAGAAACAACAGAAAGUAGAAAACUGCAUUAGACAAAUGGUGAAAAAGUGGGAACAACAUAAACUAGGGUUACAAUCCUGGAAGAAACCUAGAUAAUGCUAAAAGAGCUACUACGACUAAACAAACUAGGAAAAAUAAAAGGAUAGAAGGUUUUAAGUCACAAGACAAUAUCUGGAUUACAACCCUGAGAUAACCCAGACAAUAGAAAUGACCACAAAGUAAACUACUGAGAUUCCUUCCGGCUAGCCACGAAAGGAGCAUCUUUCCAAUCGCCAAGCUCAGCAUCUUAGCCACUGAGUUCCGCAUCAAGAGUACUAGGACCUUCGCAAGUCUCCAUCACAUUGACUUUAGCAAAUUGUGUUUGGGUCCCUUUUGCUAGCUUGUUCUUCAGAUCAACCUCCGAAACCGAGACUGAUAGCGCUGAAAGCUUUGCAGAAAAUGGCCCUCCGAGGAUCAAAAAAGAAUUUUCAUAUUCAUUUUAAACAUGAAUCAUACCCAUCAUAUGCGUCUCAUUAUGAGCAGGCGAUGUACUUUGACUAGCAUCUACUACAUCUAGAUUUUGCACGACAAUGUCACCUGCCUCAAUAAGCUUCUAAGCUGCUCUUUUAAAAUGCCAACACUUUUCUAUGUUGUGACCUGGGGAACUAGAACAAUGUGCACACUUUUGGGAAUAAUCAAAAUUCUUUCGAAGUGGGUUCGACAUUUUUACCUGAAUCGGCUUCAUCAUGUCCAAUUGCCUCAACCUUUAGAAUAAACUGGCAUAUGAUUCUCCAAUAUGAGUGAAAUUCUUUUCUUUUUUUUUUUGUUUCCUUUUCAUUUUGUACUAUGGCCUUGGUUGGAACCUUUUGCGAGUAAGUGGUUGAUAUUUUUGAGGAGGUGGGUAAGAUAUUUGCGGAAAUGGUAUGGUCCACCGUGGGUCCUGUGGAUGUGGAGCAUAUGGUGGUUCAUUGGGGAUGGAGUACUGGCAAGGUGAGGUAUGACUUUGGCGUGGAGAGAAGUAGCAACAAGGAUAUCCAUGGGGUUGAUAUUGAGGCGGAAAGCGUUGAUCAGGAAUGCCCGCUGGAUCCUGUCGUGGUUGGAGCUCAACAACAUCUUUUCUAUUUCUCUUUCCUGUCGUGGUUGGAGCUCAACAACAUCUUUUCUAUUUCUCUUUCUUCCACCCAAACUUACUGAGAUGUUGUAAACGUCUUUUGUAGUAUCUUUCAAUGUAGAAUAACUCAUGAUUUUUCCUUACUUAACUCCUUCCUCUACCACCUCCCCCAUUUUUAUCACAUCACUGAAAGGUUUACCCAAGGCUGGGAUCAAAUGACUGAAGUAGGUGGGCCCCUAGGCUUAUUGGAAAAGCUCAACCAUUUUUUCUUCACUAAUCAGAAGGGCUGACCCGAGCAGCUUGUUCACUCCAUCUGAGCCCAAACUCCUUAAAAUUUCUUUUCUAUCUUAGAUAGGGACGAACAGUCUAGGAUAAUGUUUAGAUUGUACUGAAAGUGUCGAACAAAUUCUUGAGCCAUUUCAUCCCAUGCAUGCCACUUAUUGACAUCUUGACAAGUAUACCAUUGCAAGGCUGCCCAGUCAAGCUCCCACUGAAAUAUGCCAUCAACAAAUCAUAUUUGCUGCCAACACUUCUUAUUUCAUUGCAAUAACCCUUCAGAUGGGCCAUUGGAUCUCCACGCCCAUCAUACAAGUUAAACUUUAACAUUUUAAACCCGGCGGGCAGAUGAGCAUUAGGGAACAUACACAAAUCAUUGUAAGACAUGUUAAUCUUAUUUUCCAACCCUUGAAUGCUCCUUAAGGGUUAUUCUAUACCUUUCAGCUUCCUGGAUAUCUCAUCUUGCCCUUCUUUUCUUGUGAACUUUUUAUUUUCAACAUGAGGAUCAUUCUGAGGGCUCUGAUUGUAUGAGUUAGGAACCUAGCGGGAAACCUCUGAGGGGUAAUAUUGGGCAUCAUGAGCUUUGAGUGGGUGUUCAUUGUUUGAUCUAUGCGGGGAAGAUUGUUGAGAAGUUGUGAUCAUAGGGAUAAUGGAUAUGACAGGAGGGCAAUUUUGGGGAAAGGUAUAUGGAGGACGAGUGAUGGAGCAACUAGGGUUAUUGGGAAAGCUAUGAUAAGCAGGUAGAUUUGGAGAGUACGGGGGAUCAUCUGGCACUAUUACCAGAGCUUGGGUAAGAGUAGCUUCUAAGAAGCUAUAUGGUGGCCGGGGUGGUGCCUUCCCAGUCAUCCGAGCUUGAUACAUAUCCGCCAUACCACCUUCCUAGUCAUCCAAGCUUGAUACAUGUCCGCCAUAUGUUGUCUUAACUUCCUCACCUCUUCAAUCAACCAAUUAUCCUGCUCAACUAAUUUCUUUCUGGCACCGGUGUCAACCAACUCAAUUAUGUUGUUGUCUCCAUUGCCUUUUGACUUUAUAUUGUAGAGAGGAGUUACCACUUUAAUAACCACAAACCAACCACCAUUCUGCUAUAAAGAUAACAAAAUGAACAAAAUGAAGUCAUCAUGUUAGCGUGAGGGCAUUUAACAGCCAAAAAUAUCACAUUACGUGCAAUGCACCUAGCAACAAUUAACAAUUCGAGAAUGACUUCGAGGUCACAUGGCAUCAUACUGAUUUGUUCAUUUCAAUCUCCUCUUUUCUUUUCUAGCACUUCUUAUCUUGCUCAUUUUUCUUCCUUUUCUUCUUUCUGAUUAUCACUCUUUUCUUUCCUCUCACUUCUCACGCCCCGCAAUUCAUCCUUUCUUUUUUCCUUUUCUCUCUCUUUCUUUAAAAAACAAUCGAUCGAACCCUAUGUAGGUUGCCUACAUAAGGUAGUCCAAAAAUAUCGGGAAUAAAACAAACAAAUUAACAUUCUCUUUUUUUUAACUUAAUGACUGCUCUGACGAAAAAAAGGAUAAUAAAAGAAGCAAUUUUUUUUUUGAAUUUUCUAGAUUUAAUGUUCUAUAUUCUAUUCUUAUCUCAAGCUUAAUGAUGAUAUAUAUAUAUAUAUAUAUAUCAUCAUUAAGCUUGAGAUAAGAAUAGAAUAUAGAACAUUAAAUCUAGAAAAUUCAAAAAAAAAAUUGCUUCUUUUAUUAUCCUUUUUUUCGUCAGAGCAGUCAUUAAGUUAAAAAAAAGAGAAUGUUAAUUUGUUUGUUUUAUUCCCGAUAUUUUUGGACUACCUUAUGUAGGCAACCUACAUAGGGUUCGAUCGAUUGUUUUUUAAAGAAAGAGAGAGAAAAGGAAAAAAGAAAGGAUGAAUUGCGGGGCGUGAGAAGUGAGAGGAAAGAAAAGAGUGAUAAUCAGAAAGAAGAAAAGGAAGAAAAAUGAGCAAGAUAAGAAGUGCUAGAAAAGAAAAGAGGGCCUAGAUGAGAAAGAUAUUUUUGUUUUUCAGGAAGAAAAUCUAAUGAAUAAACCGAAGAAAAAUAUCUUGAAUUUUCAUUUGAUUUCCUAAAGAAAGAUUUUGAAACGAGAAAUAAAAAAAUAUUUUAGGAUUUUAGUUUUGAUUACCUAAAGGAAAAAAAUCUAAAGAUUAAACAAAAUAUAAAGUAUAUUUUUUACUUAUAUACAUAAUGUCCUAAAGUUCUAGUGAAAAUAAAAAUUUUGUUUUAUUAGUUUUUGAAAGAAGAACCUCAAAAAAAUCUUUUUGGAUUUUGGAAUUUAUAUCUUAAAUAAAACUUGUAAAGAAAUAUCAAAAGAGAAAAAUCCCAUUUUUUUUUGAGUUUUUAGUCCUAGUAUCCUAAAGGAAAUGUAAAAGUAUUUUUUUUAGUUCUAGAUAUUAAUUUUCUAAAGGAAAAACCACCUCAAAAUUUCUUCUUAUUUUUUAAAUUUCUAGGAGUAGUAUUCCUAGAGAAAAUCCUAACGGAAAUAUAGAAAUGAAAAAUAUCUUUUUUUGGAUUUUAGAUUUAUAAUAAAUUUUUCAAAUGUAAAAUAGAAAAUAAUAACAAAAGACUCGACAAACUUAACUAGACUAUGAUAGACUCUAGCAUCAACUAAAUGACCAAUACUAGUGUAUAUGACUAGAAGUAAAACAUGAACAAUAGACUCAAAAACAUAAAAAGGCAACUGAGGCAGCUCCUUAUUGCAGUGGUCCUGGGAUAUAUGUCAUGCUCAAACUCCGGUAAGUAGAUCUACACAUGUAUGAGAAAACUGAAACCAAUACUAUGUGAGACAAUAACAAUCCCUACUAGACACAUGCAAGACAUAGUUGUAAAUAUUUUUCUAAAAUUAACCUAUGUGGCUAAUCCCUUUGAUAGUUAUUUAUGGUAGUUACUAUCUGGUAUAUUUGGAUGCUAUUUUAUUUAUGGUUCUUAUGUUUAGAUAAUUAUUUACGCUAUUUCUGCUGGAGUUACUAAUGCUCUUUUGUUUUGGUUUUUAUUUUUCCUUUCCUCCACUGAGCCGAGGAUUGAUUGGAAACAGCCGCUCUGCCCUUUCGGGUAGGGGUAAGGCCCGUUUACAUAUUACCGUCCCCAGAUCCCACUUUGUGGGACUAUACUGGGUAGUUGUUGUUGUUGUUGUUGUUAACCUAUGUGGCUAAAAGUAGCUAAAAAUACAAGAUUUGGCUAAGACCCCACGAAGCAAGAACUCAAACUUACUGAGAAGACCGGACCCUAUGUGGGUUGCCUACGUAUCAUGCCUCGAAAGAUGAAAAUCAGGUAUGCGUAGUUCUGGAAGAUUGGAUUCGGGUGAGAAAUAUAAAAAAAUAACUAAUUUAGAGAAAAUAUGCUUUUGUCUUUUUUUUAAAAAAAAGAAUGAAAUAUGUAAACUCUUUUUAAAGUUUCUCUUUCUUUUUUUGUUUUGAUUGGUUUUUUUAAAAAAUGAUGGGGAAAGUGUAGAAUCUUUUUAGAUUUUUUCAUUUUUUUUUCUUGGAAAAGUGUCAAAGAAAAUUAUAACAGGGCCCUUCUUGCAUCUUUUUUAUACUUAACCUCUUUUCUUUCUCAUUUAUCCUCAACAUUCAUUGGUCUACCAAAUGACCAUUUUUACCCUUGAAGAUUGCAACAUGUAUCACAUUAGGAUACAUCAGGAUGGUGUUUUAUCCCCUAACUCAAAUGCACAUGAUGCAAACAAAUGCUCCUACUAGGGAUCCGGCAUAAGGUUAUGUUAUUCUAGGUUUAAACCUGGGUUUGUGUUCUUGACCUGGCUUACCUGAGCGGACAACUCGAGCCGAAGAGGGGGCAACAUAACGGGGGCACUAAUGUCUACCAAGCCUUGUUGUUGGCCCAACCUCGUUCUAAUUGGUAUCACUUCUACAUAAAAAGCGGGUCACGCGAACGUGUGCACCAUUUUUAGAAGACUCAAAGGUGUCACGACCCGAGUUCAACCACCAUGAACAUGACGUGAUGACACCUAGUCCCUACGAUUAGGUAAGCCUAACAGUGCGGAAAUAAAUAAUUAAAAGAUAAACACCUAAGAGAAACUGUAUAUAAGUGUCGCCUGGCAUACACAAAUCAACAUCACGAACAUCUAUAACAACAUCCCAAAACCCAAAAACUCACGGGAAACACAGGCUAAUAGAAGAGUAAUACACUACUCUAACUCCAGAAUGUCUAAACAACUGAAAGAAGGAAAAGACUAUCUAUUAAAACUGGAAUAAGAUGGAGACUCCUGGUCUGCAGACGUGGAAGAAGAACCUCGAAGUCUCAGCUAGAUCUCUCUGCCACGAGAGUGGGUGGAGCUACCUUGAUCUGCACAUGAAAAACAUGCACAGAAGGUGCAUGAGUACACCACAACGGUACUCAGUAAGUGCCAAGCCUAACCUCUGCCGGCUAGUGAAGAGGGAGGUCAGGGCCUUGCUGAGAUAAAACAUAAUAAAUGAUAAAGUAAAGAAAACAGUAUAGAUAAGUCUAGAGUCUAAAUAGGAUAUAUAAGGAAAAAUAGUGGUAGAAAGCAGAAACAUAAUAAUAUAAGGAAAUACUGCUCACAACAGGAAUAACAACCGGGGAUCUCUUGGUAUCCCGAGAAUCUCCUGGUAUCACCAUCAUAUUUGCGAGAGAUCUCUUGGUAUCCCGAUGAUCUCUUUGUAUCGUCAAUAGGUAAGUUGGGGAUCUCUUGGUAUCCCGAGGAUCUCCUUGUAUCCUCAGUAUAUACAAAUACAUGUGCCAGGGAUCUCUUGGUAUCCCGCACCCUCAAUCCAGAAUAUAUCAAGUACAUGGGGAUCUCCUGGGAUGUCGUACCAUAGUCCCCAAAUUUAAAACACACAAUAACAACUCGAACAUUAGGAUAAAUGCUAAACUAAUAAUAAGUAAUAGUAAAUUCUAGACUAACAUGCUUCAUGGAGUGCAAACAAAAUAGUCUAAAUAAAUAGGCAAGUAAGUCAAUUAAACAUGCUUCUCUAAACUAAUACAGGUAAACUUGCAAUUAGAAUAAGUAGUAAGCAAGAAAACUCAAUUUAAAUACUUCAAGUAAAAAAUGGAUUUUUCAACAAUUAGCUCAAGCACGCGCUCGUCACCUCACAUACAAGACAUUCAAAUAUAAAAUAUCAUGUCAUAAGGGGAAAGGUCCCACACAUAAGGUUAGAUAAGUCACUUACCUCGAACUGGCACAAAAAUCAACUAGAAACCAUGUCUUUGCCACGAGUAUCCGACUCCAAAUGACCCAAAUCUAUUUAAUUCAAUUAUAAAUCGUAAAUAACAUCGCAAGAAGAUGAUUGUACUAUUUAAUUCAAAGCUAAGCACAAAAUUAGGUAAAAUGACCAAAAUUCCACUCUGGCUAAUGUCUUGGAAUCGGAUAAUUCUUAUAUUUUCAGAACCCCCGUACUCUCCGAGUCUUACCAUAUAAAUAUUUCCCAAAUCGGAGGUUAAACACCCACUCAAAACAAAAUAGUUUGGUCUAUGAUGUUUUCCCCAUUUUUCAUUUUGAAAUCCAAAUUGAGGAUGAAUUCGCGAUUAGAUUAGUUGGUUUUAAGCACAAGGGAGUAGAGCAUCGUUACCCAAUAGUUGCCCUAAAAAAACCUUCAAAAUUUCCCAAAUUCGAGCUCCCAAGCUUAUAUAAUGAUAAAAAUGGCUAACCAUCAGUUUUGAAAUGUUUAUAACUGUUCGGAAUUUUAAAGCAUCGCGAACGCGGAGGUGAUCUCACGUUCGCGGAAAAGAAAAAUAGAAGUUUCCAAAAAUGCCCUUCGCGAUCGCGAGGGGGAGAACGCGAACGCGAAGGCCUGGGACCACGAAGCUACGCGAACACGACAUCUGGAAUGCAAAACCGAUGAAGAAAAUAGCGAGGUACAGAAGUUACCCUACGCAAACGCGUGAGAGUGUUCGCAAACGCGAAGAACGGACUAGCGUAGCUACGCGAACGUCUAGCAGCUUAUGGGAACGUGAUGGGGAAGUAAGAUGGGCUUCGCAAACGCGGGAAGGAUUAUGCUAAUGCGAAGAGAAAAAUUCCACGUGGUCAAGAUAAGCCUUCUCGAAUGCGAAGGGCUGCUCGCGAACACGAUAGAGGCAUACGACAAGCAACAAGAAUAGUUCAAAAAUAGGAGGAAAUGGCCCGUUGAGCAUCCAAAACACACCCGAGGCCGCCGGGACCUCAACCAAACCUACGGACAUAUCCCAUUACAUCACUCAAACUUAUAACAAUACUUAAACCACCUAAAACAAUGCCGAAAACUCAAAUUAAUUAAGGAUUUGAGCCUAAGAACUUCAAAUUUUAUCAAAACACACUUUCGAUCAAAAAUCUAACCAAAACAUGUCCGAAUGACCUGAAAUUCUACACACACAUCCCAAACGAUAUGUUGUAGAUACUGCAACUUUCGUAAUUCCAUUCCGACACUCGGAUAAAAAACUCACUAUCGGAGCGGAAACUUCCAAAAUUCAAUUUUUGGCAUUUCAAGCCUAAAUGAGCUACAGACUUCCAAAAUGCAUUCUGAACACGCUCCCAACGGCGAAAUCACCUAAAGAAGCUAAUAAAGCCAUCGGAUUUCCAUUCCGAGGUCGUCUUUACACUGUUCUAACUACAAUCACUUUACAACACCUAAGCUCUCAUUUAGGGACUAAGUGUCCCAAUAUUCUCCGAAACUCAACACCGAAUGUUCCAGCAAACUAAAAUAGCAUAAAUGAACUUAGGGGAAACAGUUAAUAGGGGAUCGGGGCGUUAAUUCUUAAGAUGACGGGUUGGGUCAUCACAUCCACCUACACUUAAAUAUCCAUUCGUCCUCGAACGAGCAUAGAGAACAUAUCUGAAGUAUUAGAAAGAUGAGGAUAUCGGUUACGCAUAUACCGCUCGAUCUUUCAAGUUGCCUCCUCGGCCGGCUGACCCCGCCAUUUAACCUUUACUGAAGCAAUGUUCUUUGACCUCAACUUUCUGACAUGCCUAUCCAGUAUAGCCAUUGUCUCCUCAACAUAGGAUAGAUCCUUGUCCAACUGGACUGAAAUCCAACACAUGCGACGAAUCACCCUGAUACCUCCGGAGCAUCGAAACAUGAAAUAUCGGAUGAACCCCGGCCAAACUUGGAGGCAAGUCAAGCUCAUAAGCAACCUCCCCAACACGCCUCAAAAUCUCAAGAAGGCCAAUAAACCUCAGUCUCAGCUACCCUUUACUCCCAAAUCUCAUAACGCCCUCCAUAGGCGAAACCUGAAGUAGAACCCGUUCUCCGACCAGAUACGUAACAUCACGAACCUUCCGGUCCGCGUAACGCUUCUGUCUAGACUGGCUGUAUGGAGUCUAUCCUAAAUCAUCUUGACCUUCUCCAAUGCAUCCUGAACCAACUCUAUGCCCAAUAGACUGGCCUCACCCUGCUCAAACCAACCCACCGGAUAUCUUCACCUCCUACCAUAUAAAGCCUCAUACGGCGCCAUCUGAAUAUUGGAUUGAUAAUUUUUUUUGUAAGCAAACUCAGCCAAUGGCAAGAACUUAUCCCAGGACCCUCCAAACUCAAUCACAUACGCACGGAGCAUAUCCUCAAGAACCUAAAUAAUGCGCUCAGACUGUCCGUCCAUCUGGGGGUGAAAUGAUGUGCUCAACUCUACCCGAGUACCCAACUCCACCCGAGUACCCAACUCCUGCUGAAUGGACCUCCAAAAUUGUGAUGUAAAUUGAGUACCUCUGUCUGAAAUAAUAGAAGAUGGAAUACCAUGCAGACGAAUAAUCUCCCGGAUAUAAAUCUCUGCCAACCGCUCCGAUGAAUAAGUAGUACACACAGGGAUAAAAUGAGUGAACUUGGUCAGCCAAUCCACAAUCACCCAAAUGGCAUCAAACUUCUUCGCAGUCAGAGGGAGACCAACUACAAAAUCCAUGGUGAUCCUCUCCCAUUUCUACUCUGGAAUCUCUUUCUUCUGAAGCAACCCACCCGGUCUCUGGUGCUCAUACUUCACCUGCUGACAGUUGAGAAAUCUAGCUACAUAUUCAACUAUAUCCUUCUUUAUUCGCAUACACCAAUAGUGCUGCCUCAAAUCCCGAUACGGUGCCUGGAUGGAAGGAAUACCGCGAAUUGUGGGCCUCUGCUAGAAUCAACUCCCGAAGCCCAUCAACAUUGGGAAAACAAAUCCGACCCUGCAUCCUCAAUACUCCGUCAUCUCCAAUGGUCACAUCUCUGGCAUCAUCAUGUUGAACCGUGUCCCUGAGGACAAGUAAAUAAGGAUCAUCAUACUGCCGCUUCCUGAUACGAUCGAACAAUGAAGAGCGAGAGACCACACAGGGUAGUACCUAACUAGGCUCUGAAAGAUCCAAUCUUACAGAUUGGCUGGCUAAGGCCUGAAUAUCCAUCGCCAUAGGCCUCUCUGAAGCUGGUAAAUAUGCCAAACUCCCUAAACUCACUGUCCGGCAACACAAGGCAUCCACCACCACAUUGGCCUUUACCGGGUGAUACAGAAUAGUAAUAUCAUAAUACUUCAGCAACUCUAACCACCUCCUCUGGCGCAAAUUUAGACCAUUUUGCUUGAACAAGUGUUGCAUACUCUGCUGGUCAGUGUAAAUCUCACAAGGCACACCGUACCAGAUCUUCAAGGCAUGAACAAUAGCAGCUAACUCAAGGUCAUGGACAAGGUAAUUCUUCUCAUAUAUCUUUAACUGUCUGGACGUGUAGGUAAUCACCCUAUCAUCCUACAUCAACGCUACGCCAAGGCCAACCCAUGAGGAAUCACAAUAAGCUGUAUAGGACCCCGAACUAGUAGGCAAUAUCAAAAUAGGGGUUGUAGUCAAAGCUAUAUUGAGCUUCUGAAAGCUUGGAUCACACUUCUCUGUCCACUGGAAUAGAGCACCCUUCUGGGUCAAUCUAGUCAUAGGGCUGCAUGCGAUGAAAACCCUUCCAUAAAACAAUAGUAGUAACCCGCCAAGCCAAGGAAACAGCGAAUCUCUGUAGCUGAGGAGGACCUGGGCCAACUCUGCACGGCCUCUACCUUUUUCAGAUCCACCCAGAUGCCCCACUCGAUACCACGUGGCCCAAGAGUGCAACAGAAGUCAACCAAAAGUCACAUUUUUAGAACUUUGCAUAUAGCUUCUUCUCUCUCAAGGUAUGAAGCACGGUUCUUAGGUGUUGCUCAUGAUCUUCCCGACUCCGGGAGUAUACAAGAAUAUCAUCUAUGAAAACANNNNNNNNNNNNNNNNNNNNNNNNNNNNNNNNNNNNNNNNNNNNNNNNNNNNNNNNNNNNNNNNNNNNNNNNNNNNNNNNNNNNNNNNNNNNNNNNNNNNNNNNNNNNNNNNNNNNNNNNNNNNNNNNNNNNNNNNNNNNNNNNNNNNNNNNNNNNNNNNNNNNNNNNNNNNNNNNNNNNNNNNNNNNNNNNNNNNNNNNNNNNNUUCAGGGUCUAAAGCAGUGUCCUCAGGUGCUGCUCAUGAUCUUCCCGACUCCGGAGUAUACAAGAAUAUCAUCUGUGAAAACAAUGACGAACGAGUCGAGAUAGGUCCUGAACACACUGUGCAUCAAAUGCAUAGAGGCUGUUGGGGCAUUGGCCAGCCCAAAUAACAUAACAAGGAACUCGUUAUGACCAUGCCGAGUCCUGGAGGCAGUCUUUGGGAUAUCUGGCUCCCGAAUCUUCAACUGGAGAUAACUUGAGCGCAAAUCAAUCUUAGAAAACACAUGUGCACCAUGAAGCUGGUCAAAUAGAUCAUCAAUACGAGGAAAAGGAUAACGGUUCUGUACUGGAACCUUGUUAAACUGGCGAUAAUCGAUACAUAUACGGAUAGAACAAUCCCUUUUAUUAGCAAACAAGACAGAAGCAUCCCACGAUGAAACACUAGGUCGAAUAAAACCCUUAUUAAGCAAUUCCUAUAAUUGGUCCUUCAACUCUUGCAACUCAGGAGGAGCCAUACAGUAUGGAGGAAUGGAAAUGGGCUGAGUGCUCGGCGACAAAUCAGUGCCAAAAUCAAUAUCUCUAUCUAGCGGCAUGCCUAGAAGAUCAGCUGGAAACACAUCGUGAUAAUCCGUACCACUGGGACCGAAUCAAUUGAAGGGGUAUCAACAUAAACAUCUCACAUAGGCUAGAUACACGGCAUACCCCUUCUCAACCAUACGCUGAGCUUUAAGAAAAGAUAUAACUUUAUUGGGAGUGUGAUCUAAAGUACCACUCCACUCAACACGUGGAAUACCUGGCAUAGCCAGCGUCACGGCCUUGGCGUAUCAAUCAAGAAUAGCAUAAUGGGGUGACAAUCAGUCCAUGCCCAAGAUAAUAUCAAAAUCAACCAUGUUGAGUAACAAUAAAUCUUCUUUGGUCUUAAAACCAUGAAUAAUGACCAAACACGACCGAUAAACGCGGUCCACAAUAAGGGAAUCUCCAAUAGGAGUAGAAAUAUAAACGAAAGAACUCAAAGAAUCUCGGGCUACACUUAAAUGUGGAGUAAAGUCAGAAGACACAUAAGAUUAAGUGAAGCCUGGAUCGAAUAGAUACGAUGCAACUAUGUGAAAAACUAGUAUAAUACAUGUGAUGAUAGAACGGGGGCAACAACAUCGAUAGGAGCAGGAAUAGCAUAAUAUAUGGCAUGUCCUCCCCCUCAAGGGCAACCUCUACCUCCACGACCUCCGCCCCUAGCUGGCUGUGCAUAUGGGGUAGUAGUUGGAGCUGUGAUCAUGGCCUGAGAACUCUACUGAGCGCGUUAUGGCUGAGAAGUCUAUGGAGGUGCACUCCUCCCACGUCUAGGGCAAUCCAUCACCAUAUGGCGGGUGUCACCAUACUCAAAACAAACUCUGGGAGGACAUGGUGGUUGUGAUUGUCUAAUACCAGAUCUGCUGGACUGACCUCUGAAAGCACCCCGCACUGGAGGCGCGCUACAAACCCGGAUGUGCAUAGUGAGGCUCUUGAGGUCUAGGAAGAGCUGGAGCACUACUGGCUAAUGGUAGAGCUGAAUGAAUAGGGCAACCCCUAUAACCCCUACCAUGAUGACCUGCUGCUGGGGUUUGGGCACUAGAGUAGUGGCCGGACUUUCAAGAACUCUUGGCCUCCCUCUUCACUCGCUCCCUGGUGAGCACACCAUCAAUCCUCCUAGCAAUGUUCACUACCUGCUGAUAAGGAAUGUCCAUCUCCAACUCUCGAGCCAUGCUAGAUCUGAUGGGUGGAAUAAGACCCUCAAUGAACCUGCGAACUCUCUCGAGGACAGUAGAAACCAAGGCUGGUGCAUGCCUAGCCAAUCUGGUAUAAUGGAUAGCAUACUCCGAAACGGUCAUAGCACCCUGGCGCAAAUGCUCAAACUCUGUGCGCCAUAUGUCCCUAAGACUCUGAGGGACAAACUCUCUCAUGAACAUAUCUGAAAACUGGGUCCAAGUUAGUGAAGCAACCUCGAUUGGGCUGUCUAUCUCAUAAGUGCACAACCAAUCAUAGGCGGCUCCCCGAAGCUUAAAGGCAGUAAAGGAAACCCCACUGGAUCUAGCUAUACCAUAGUGCGAAAAAUGCGAUGGCACCCCUCAAGAAAUACCAAGGCAUCAUCUGUCAAUCCACUGAAAAUCGGAGGAUCAUACUUCUUGAAUCUCUCCAGCAUCCGUUGUUUAUCCUCAGAAGCAACUGCCCUAUCCUCGUGCUGAACUGGUACUGCAGGCUGCACAUGAAUGAUCUCUGGGACCUUCCCAACAUGUACUCACUACUCAGGAGUGCGGGCGGUGGGAGGCUAUGCUCCUCCCCCAGCAUGGGAUAUGGCUGCAGGAAAGGGAAGCAACCCUGCCUAAGCUAACGCGGUGUACAUACUCAUAAAUUUGUGCCAAAGUCUCCUGAAGGGCUUGACUAGUAGUGAUUGUAGGUGUGUCAGGUGCCUGAACUCCACAACCUCAGCGGUAGCUCGCGUAGCUGCUCCGGCUGCACCACGUGUGCGUCUACGGGCUCUACCCCGGCCCUUACUUCUGACGGCUGCAGGAGGAGGUGCGGGUGCAUGAUCAACCCGAGUAGCAUGUGUCCUUACCAUAUGUGAUAGAAUAGAAGGCAGAAGAUUGGAAUUGAUAUCAAAAAUAUCGCACGACAAGGAAAUCAAUAAAGUGAAGAUUUUUCCUAAAUAAUUACAUAGCCUCUCGUAGAUAAGGACAGACGUCUCUAUACCGAUCAGCGAGAUUUUAAUAAGCUAGCCUAUGUUAUGUGACUCCUAUGCACCUAGAGCUCUAAUACCAACUUGUCACGACCUCAGUUCACCCACCAUGAACAUGUCGUGAUGGCACCUAGUCCCUACAACAAGGUAAGCCUAAUAGUGCGAAAAAUAAAUUAAAUUAUGCGGAAAAUAAAUAAUUAAAAGAUAAACAGCUAAGAGAAACUGUAUAUAAGUGUUGUCUGGCAUACACAACUCAAUAUCACUAACAUCUAUAACAACAUCCCAAACCCAGAAACUUACGGGAAACACAGACUAAUAGAAGAGUAAUACACUGCUCUAACUCCAGAAUGUCUAAAAAAACUGAAAGAAGGGAAAGACUAUCUACUAAAGCUGGAAUAAGAUGGAGACUCUUGGUCUUUGGACACGGCAGAAGUACCUUAAAGUCUCAGCUAUAUCUCUCCGCCUCGAGAGUGAUACGCCUGGGUCGAGGUACCUUGAUCUGCAAAUGAAAAACAUGUGCAGAAGGGGCAUGAGUGUACCACAGCGAUACUCAGUAAGUGCCAACCCUAACUUCGGUCGGGUACUGACGAGGAAGGUCAGGGCCCUACUUAGAUAAAACAUAAUAAAUGACAAAGUAAAGAAAAGAGCAUAGAUAAUUCUACAGCGAGAGUCUAAACAGGAUAAAUAAGGAAAAAUAGUGGUAGAAAGCAGAAACAUAAUAACAUAAGGAAAUACUGUUCACAACAGGAAUAACAAUUGGGGAUCUCUUGGUAUCCUCAUCAUAUCCUCGAGGGAUCUCUUAGUAUCCCGGGGAUCUCUUGGUAUCCUCAAUAGGUAAUCCGGGGAUCUCUAUCCCAAGGAUCUCUUGGUAUCCUCAAUAUAUACAAAUAUAUGUGCCAGGACUCUCUUAGUAUCCCGCACUCUCAAUCCAGAACAUAUCAAGUACAGGGAGAUCUCUUGGGAUGCCGUCCCGUAGUCCCCAAAUAUAAAACAAACAAUAACAGCUCUAACAUUAGUAUAAAUGUUAAAAUCAUAAUAAGUUAUAGUAAAUUCUAGCCUAACACGCUUCUCUAAACUAAUACAGGGUAAACUUGCAAUUAGAAUAAGCAGUAAGCAAGAAAAAUCAAUUUAAAUACUUUAAGUAAAAAUAGAUUUUUCAAUAAUUAGCUCAAGUACACGCUCGUUGCCUCACGUAUGAGGCAUUAAAAUAUCAAAUAUCAUGUCCUAAGGGGAAAGGUCCCCCAUACAAGAUUAGACAAGCCACUUACCUUGAACCGGCACAAAAAUCAACUAGAAACCAUGCCUUUGCAAAGAGUAUCCAACUCCAAAUGGCCCAAAUAUAUUCAAUUCAAUUACAUAUCGUAAAUAACAUCGCAAGCAACUGAUUCUAUGUAAGGCCCCGUGAAAAUUUGUGCUCAGGCCUAGUACUUAGUGGUUUCGAGUUUUGUGUAUGUGUUGAGAGGGUGUGAAAAUCAAAAGUCGAAAUUUUCCAGAAAAUUGCCAUUUUUAUGGUCCAGAAUGUGGUUGCAGAUCAGAUAUGCAGACCGCAUUUCUGCCGCGGAGUUAAUCGGAGUGUUGGUUGAAAUUGAUGUUAGGAGUACGGUCCAUUAUGCGAUCGCAUAAUCAAUAUGCAGACCGCACAGCCGCCGCAUAACUCCCUCAAGAAAUUGUGAAUGACAGAUCUGCGGUGCAUUAUGCGACCGCAGAACAGGUAUGUGGACCGCAUUCCCGUCGCAUAUCCAGGCAGAGAUGUCCAGUGAUUGGGACACUUCUGCGGUCUAAUUUUCAGACCGCAUUUUAACUCUACGAUCGCAUAGUGCAACCGUAGAUCCUGCUAGGGUUUCUAAUUUUCUAAAAUUUUAAAUCCGACCCCUCUUUAAUAAAAUAUCCCAACCCCUCAUUUUAACAUACUUUCUGAGAAAAAUAAGAGAGAGGGAAGAGAUGGUCCUUGAGAGAGAAAGUUCAUCUUCAUCAAAUUGAUUUUCCAAAGUCACCCAAAACCCGAGGAAAUUUCAAGUAUUGUCUUCAAUUUUGUUCUUGCAGGUAAAAUCCCCAACCCUUUUUCAUUUGUUUUCCCUAUUUAAACAAAAAGGGGGAUUCUCAUGCACUGAUUCUUGAAAACCAAAUGUGGGAUUACACAUGCAUGUUUUAAAAACCUAAGAACUAGUAAGACAAAUAUGGUAGGAGUAAAGAAUUGAACAAAUAGGGGUUGGUAACCAAAAUAGGCUCGGGUAGUAAAAUUGUGAACUUCAUUGCUAAGGCAUAUGUGUUAACCUGUAAAUUAGAUUGAUGUUGCUAGACUGCUUGGUGAGUUGGAAAUAGAAGUUAAAGAGGAAAUUCAGCUCCAAGUAUGUAUGGCUAACUUUGAUCCUUGUAAAAUCGCCUUGUUUGGUGUAUGUAUGCUUUGUAGGUGGUAUGUACGUGAAUUAUUUAGGAAUUUCUUGUGAUUGGUAUGUUUGUGAUUGUGUAAUGUGGUAAGAAUUGAGGAAUAAAUGACUAAAGGAAUUCCUAAAUAAUGCAACUAGAAUAACUAUGGUAACCAUAUUUAUGGCUUGUUGUGGCCAAUUACCAAAGUAACAUAAAACGUAUACGGGUUGUUGAAUAUGAUUGAAAUAGUAUUGAUGAUCGUGGAAACACUUGUAACAUUGUUGUUGUUGUCAUUUCUUGAGAAGCAUUUCCUGUUUAUCUUUGUGAAUUAUUGAUUGUUGUUGUGUGGUUGUGAAUUGUAACUGUACGAUGGGAUCGGGUUGGGCGCUGCAACUCGAAGUAAUAAGGUGUGGGAUGUGGUGAUAAGGGUGGACGAGGUAAUAAGGGUGGUCGAAGUAAUAAGGGUGGAAAGUGAUUGAAAUCACUAUUGAAACAAAAUAUAAGAAAAUUGAGAAACUGUUGAAGUGAAAUCAUGGAAGGGGAAAAUAGGAGAGUUUGUAAACUUGUUUGGCUUGAUUGUACCUUUCAUGUGUGUUUGGUUGCUGCAUCCAUUACUGUCUCCUACUUAUGUAUGGUUUGAGUUUACAUGGAGCAAGUUUGUUCAUACAUACCAGUACAAUUCAAAUGUACUGAAGUCCCAUUUGUCGGGGAGCACUACAUUCGUGUUAUGAUUAUAGGUGGAUCCAUAGCAGGUACUCCAAUCCACCGAUUAUAGCUCCUCAUCACUUCCUGUCAGCUGAAUUGGUGAGCCCCUUUCUUUUCGGGGCCUUGCGUUGCUCACACUACUCCUGUUCUUGUCUUUUGUGAUCUUGUUUUGGUAUUUGUAAAAGGUAUAACCGGAGCUUUGUCACCAACAAGUAUUGUAUAAUCCUUUUUCAUCUUUAGAGGCUCUGUAGAAAGAAAACAUGGGUCAGGAACUUAUGUGAUUUGUACUUUGUAUGCUGGGCGAUGUGAUUUAUAAACCACGCUGAAUAUUAUCUAUGUUAUGUAUGCUUUUGUAAGAAGGUGUUCCAAUUAUAAUUAGCUGUUUCACUUGGUUAAUAAGUAAUGAAAAAUGUAGGGUAACACGUGGGAUAGGAAAGGCACUCAGGUCCCUUAACUGGGGAUACCCGGCCGAGCACCAGUCAUAUCCCUCGAAUUUGGGGCGUGACAUUCUACCAUUUAAUUCAAAACUAAGGCGUGAAAUUAGGUAAAAUGACAAAAAUUUCCCUCAUGCUAACAUCUUGAAAUCGGAUAAUUUUUACAUUUUCAGAACCCUCGUACUUUCAUGAGUCUAUCCAUAUAAAAAUCUCCUAAAUCGGAGGUCAAACACCCAAUCAAAACUCAAUAGUUUAGUAUAUAAAGUUUUCCCCAUUUUUCAUUUCAAAAUCCAAAAUUGAGGAUGAAUUCACAAUUAGAUUAGUGGGUGUUAAGCAUAAGGGAGUAAAGAAUUGUUAUCCUCUAGUUGCCCUAAAAAAAACCUUCGAAAUCUCUACCAAAUCCGAGCUCCCAAGCUUAUAUUUUGAUAAAAAUGGCUAACCAUCAGUUUUGAAAUGUUAAUAACUGUUCAGACUUUUAAUGCAUCGCGAAUGCGAUGUGAUCUCGCGUUCACGUAGAAGAAAAAUAGAAGUUGCCAAAAAUGCCUUUCGCGAUCGCGAGGGGGAGAACGUGAAUGCGAAUGCGAACGCCUGGGACCACAAAGCUAUGCGAACGCGAUGAAGAAAAUAGCGAGGUCCAGAAGUUACCCUAUGCGAACGUAUGAGAGCGCUCGCGAAUGCUUAGCGUAGCUACGUGAACGCGUGGCAGCUUACACGAAUACGAUGGGGAAAUAAGCUGGGCUUCGCGAAUGUGGGGAGGAUUAUGCAAAUGCAAAGAGGAAAAUUCAAGGUGGUCAAAAUAAGCCUUCGCGAACGUGAAGGGCUGCUUGCGAAUGCGAUAGAGGCAUACCAGAUGCAGCACACCAGUUCAAAAAUAGGAGGAAAUGGUCCAUUGAGCAUCUGAAACACACCUGAGGCUCCCGGGACCUCAACCAAAACUACGAACAUAUCCCAUAACAUCAUUCAAACUUGUACCAAUCCUUAAACCACCUAAACCAGCGCCGGAACUCGAAUUAAUCAAGGAUUUGAGCCUAAAAACUUCAAAUUUUAUCAAAACACGUUUCGAUCAAAAACCUAGCCAAAAUACGUCCGAAUGACCUGAAAUUUUGCGCACACAUCCCAAACAAUAUGACGGGUCUAUUGCAACUUCCGGAAUUCCAUUCGAACCCUCGGAUCAAAAACUCACUAUCGGACCAGAAACUUCAAAAAUUUAAACUUCGACAUUUCAAGCCUAAAUGAGCUACGAACUUUCAAAAUUCAUUCCGAACACGCUCCCAACCCCGAAAUUACCUAACAGAGCUAACAGAAUCAUAGAAUUUCCAUUCCAAGGCCUUCUCCAUAACAUCAUUCAAACUUGUACCAAUCCUUAAACCACCUAAACCAGCGCCGGAACUCGAAUUAAUCAAGGAUUUGAGCCUAAAAACUUCAAAUUUUAUCAAAACACGUUUCGAUCAAAAACCUAGCCAAAAUACGUCCGAAUGACCUGAAAUUUUGCGCACACAUCCCAAACAAUAUGACGGGUCUAUUGCAACUUCCGGAAUUCCAUUCGAACCCUCGGAUCAAAAACUCACUAUCGGACCAGAAACUUCAAAAAUUUAAACUUCGACAUUUCAAGCCUAAAUGAGCUACGGACUUCUAAAAUGUAUUCUGAACGCGCUCCCAACCUCGAAAUCACCUAACGGUUCUAACGGUACCAUCAGAUUUUUGUUCCGAGGUUGUCUUCACACUGUUCCGACUACGGACCACUUUUCAAAGCUUAAGCUCUCAUCUAGGGACUAAGUAUCCCAAAACUCUCCGAAACUCAACACCGAACGUCCAGACAAACCAAAAUAGCAAAAAUGAACUUAGGGGGAGCAGUUAAUAGGGGAUUAGGACGUUAAUUCUUAAGACGAACAACCGUGUCGCCACAAGAAAUGUGGCGUAAGAAGACAAUUAUAUAAAAUUCAAAUAAUAUCAAAGCGAUAAAUAGACGGCAAUUAGCACAUUAAGUUCACAAAUACAGUACUAUUAAUAAUAAAUAAAUCCAAGUAAAAAAUCAUAUUAACAAGCUCGAAUUCUUGAAUCUUGAACCAGAAGUUCGGGGUUUUUGUCCCUAGUGGAGUUGUCAGAGCUGUCACAUCUCCUUUUUACUACCCCGGAAGGUUAUAAGGGAGUUUUUUCCAAUUUAAGUGAUAAUCGAAACAGGAUUAUUUAAACUAAAAUCAGAGUCGGUACUUGAGAUAAUUUAUGGUGUCCCAAGUCACUGGUUAAAAUCUCGAAUCGAGGAAGUAGAAUCUACGGUCUUCGAAUACAGAAAUUUGGGUAAGGAAUUCUUUUAACCCGGAAGAAGGUGUAAGGCAUUCCCGGGUUCCGUAGUAUUAGCACAGUCGCUUUGAUCAUACUCAGCUUAAUUAAAUUAUCUAAUUACUUAUUUUAGAACCUAUGCACACUUGCCUCUUUUAAUUAAGGAAUUAUCUUAAAACGGGUCACGCGCACGUGUGUCCAUUUGUUUGGCGCGUCAAAAAAUCAUGUCACGCGAACGUGUCCAUAAUUAAUAACGCCUUGUCAUUAUUAAGAAAGUUUAGUCGAAGUUGCGCGAACGCAUACUCCGAUUUAUUUUUAAGAUCGUAAUUAUGUCACGCGAACGUGUAAACCAUCACGAUGGUAGAUUAAGUUGCGCCUAAAGCAUUUUCUACGAGUAUUCAUUUAUUUUAAAAAUCGUAUUCUUGUCAUGCGAAUGUGUACGUAGUUAAUAAUAUUUUAUCAUUAAGAGUGUUUCGUCCGAAGUUGCGCGAAUGCAUACCUUGGUUUGUUUAUCAACUUCUAUUUCCAUUACUUUCCUUGUAAAAAUACCCAACAAGAGCUCAUCUAAUCCAACUCUAUUGACUAAAUUGUCUAUGUCUAACGGAAAUGCAAGCUAUUCUUCAAUCAGCAGAUCGGCUCUCUUCCAUUUUCCAGACUGACGCACAAUGAAAUGAGUUAGAUUUUAUAUACUUGCAAAGCAGUCCGGCAGCAUGAUAUACUAAUGAUAAAGGCAAGAAAUCAUUAAUAUAGACAAUCACAAAAUAACUAAGCUGUUUUUCUUAUUCUACUAUAAUUGGGAGCAUUUGCCAAAUCCAAUAUUUCCUUAUGGUCCAAAAACUCCAACCCGGAAACAACGGGAUUUUUCAAUAUUCGCUUUACUUCAUCACAAACAAAAAACUCAUAGUAGAAGACAAAGCUAAAUGAAGGAAACAAAUCAUUACAGUACUAUAUUAUACUACUGAUAAUACUCAAAUAUACUUACUAUAGAUUACUUCAGAUAAGGCAUAAUCUCAAAGCAAAUAAAGUGUAAAAAGAAAGAUUUGAAUUUAACAAUAAAAACGACCAUUUACAGUUGUAAUAAUUCCUAAACACUGACCAAAUGACGUUCUCGAACUGUAAGACCAGAGCUUCAUCGAAAACCUCAACGGAACUACGACCAAACAUCUGAUAACUUUUCGGUACAGAGGUGAAAUACAGCAAGUAGGGGUACAAGGAUCUCUCGUGUAAUAAGCUCUAGCUGUGGUAGAAAUGGUCGCUGAUUUCGGUUGAUAGAAUAAGAAGAAGAAGGAGUCAACGCUGGAAGGGUGGUCUUCUGAGGUCUUUGGGUCUCGUUUUCAAGUAGCGAGAUGGAGUGACGAUGGAGGUGAGGAAUCUGAUCGCUGGUGUUGUGUGUGUUGUUGGAGGCUAAUGGUGGUUGAUCUUGGUGGUAUGGCUGGUUGUUGUUUUGAGAUGAGGUGGUUGGAGUUGUAGGGAAAUGACACCGAAAAAUAAUAUAAAUAAUACUGCAAUAAUAUUAUUUAUGAGCGGAAAUACUCCAACUGGCUUGAGUCGUGCUAGGCACUGUCCGAAGAAACUAUUUUAACAAUGUGAAAUGUUUCCCCGGGAUUAAACAAGCCUACCUCUAUUUUAUUUAGAGAAUACAGAAAUCAGCAAAAUUAGAUAAUAAAUCCAGCAAUUUAGAAGAGAAAGAACAACUAAUAUCUUAUGCCAAUUAAAAUAUUAUAGAAGAAGAAAUUAGAAGGAAUUGGACGUAUAAGAGAGAAAGAAGAAAGAAGAAUUUCUUCUUUGCUAAUGAUUAACUUUUUAGUAAUCUAUGAAUGAAUAAUAAUGGCCUAAUCAUGGCUAUUUAUAGACCUAAUGAAAGCUACUUAGAUUGCCAUUUGUUUGAUUGCAUGAAGGAGGAUUGCCAUUUGUCCUUAGUUUCUAGAAAGUUGUCAUAUAUAAAAUUCAUUACAUGCAUAUUGGCACUUGUACUUAUUUAUAUUGAAAAUACUACUACAACCCCCACAUAUUUUCAAAAUAAAAAAAUAGUAUAAUAAGAUUUUGCUGGAUUUCUAUGGUCCAAAUUUAAUAGGUUUGGUGUUUUCAAGACUAUGAACCAAAGUUAUACUAAUAAAACUUAACUCACAGAAGUACUAGUGAAAUAUAAUAUUUCUAUGAACCAAUAAUUCUCAUUGUAAGUCAGAGAUUUUAUCAAUCACAUUUUGACCCCAGGUAAUUUUGCUGUUCAACGCGGUUUUGCGCCCAAUAGGCCAUGCGCGUGCCUGGUUAUUCAUNNNNNNNNNNNNNNNNNNNNNNNNNNNNNNNNNNNNNNNNNNNNNNNNNNNNNNNNNNNNNNNNNNNNNNNNNNNNNNNNNNNNNNNNNNNNNNNNNNNNNNNNNNNNNNNNNNNNNNNNNNNNNNNNNNNNNNNNNNNNNNNNNNNNNNNNNNNNNNNNNNNNNNNNNNNNNNNNNNNNNNNNNNNNNNNNNNNNNNNNNNAUCAUAUAGGUGAAUUCAUCAAGUGUAUACUACUUUUAAAUACACCAUCCAUUAAGGACUAUGAAUUUCAUUAAGAGUUAUAACUCAGCCUCUCUAUUAGUAGCAGUCAAGCACUUUCUUUUAGUGCAUCAUCAUCAAUAUUGACUUUUUAUUACCCGUAUAAACCUACUUCAUGGGAUCUCCAAUCACAUUAGUUGGGUUACCAUCUCUAUUGACAACAUGUCGGCCUUAUCCCCAUCUCUUUUGAGGUUUAAAGAAUUAAUUUUCUUCCCGCGGGUUUAGUCAGAGGAUCGGCCAAAUUAACUUCUGACUUCACAUAAUCAAUGGAAAAUAUUCCAUCUCUCAGCAGCUGCUUUAUUACAUCAUGUCUCAAUUUCAUGUGUCCACUUUUACAAUUAUAAGAUUUAUUUGUUGAUAUAGCUAUUUCCGCUUGACAAUCACAGUGUAUAGAUACAGGAGGCAAUACAUCCUUUAUUAAAGGGAUAUUGGCUAAGAAUUUUCUUAGCCACUCAGCCUGAGUACCAGCUAACUCAAAAGCUACACUCUGAUUCCAUAGUCGAUCUAGCAAUGAUCGUCUCUUUAGCUGAUUUCCACGAUAUUGCACCACCACCAAGGGUGAAUACAUAUUCAUAGUGAAUUUUGUCGCAUCUGAAUCAGAGAUCCAGUUUGCAUCACUAUACCCUUCUAAAGUAGAAGGAAAUCCACUAUAUAGGAUACCAUAAUUCAUGGUUCAUCUCAAAUAUUUCAUAAGUCUCUCUAAUGCAGACCAAUACUCUUUGUUGGGAUUACGAGUAUAUCUUCUCAGUCUACACACAGCAUAGGCUAUAUCUGGCCUUGUAAAAUUCAUUAAAUGCAUCAGACUCCCAAUAAUUUGAGCAUAUUUAUACUGAGCGACCGGGUCUCCAUUAUUCUUUUUCAACUUAGAGUUAGCAUUAAAAGGACAUCUCACAGAUGAGACAUUAAAAUAUUCAAACUUCUUAAGUAGUCUCUCAACAUAAUGUUCUUGUGACAACAUUAUUCCAUCUUCACUCCUCAUAACAUUAACUCCCAAUAUUGUAUUUACUUCACCCAAAUCUUUCUUAUCAAAAUUAGAAGACAAGAAUAAUUUAGUACUUUGCACAAUAUUUAAACUUGUACCAAAUAUAAGCAUGUCAUCAACAUAUUGACGUAUUAUUACAUAAUCAUUGUCUACCACUUUAGAAUAAACACAUAUAUCCACCUCAACUGAAAGAAAAAUCGUCUCUUAGUAAGAGUUGUUCAAAUUUCUCAUACCAUUGCUUUGGAGCUUGUUUAAGGCCAUAAAGAAAUUUAAUUAAUUUACAAACUUUAUUUUCUUGUCCAGGAAUGACACAGCCUUCAGGUUGAACCAUAUAAAUUUCUUCUUCUAAAUCACUAUUUAGAAAAGCAAUUUUCACAUCCAUUUGGUUGAUAAAAACAUUACAGAUAGAAGCUAAGGCAAUUAAAACUCGAAUAGAAGAAAUUCUAGUCACUGGUGCAAUUGUAUCAAAAUAAUCUAGUAUAAAUCUCUUCUUCUAAAUCACCAUUUAGAAAAGCAGUUUUCACAUCUAUUUGGUGGACAAAAAGCUUACGGAUUGAAGCUAAGGCAAUUAAAAUUCGAAUAGAAGAAAUUCUAGCCACUGGNNNNNNNNNNNNNNNNNNNNNNNNNNNNNNNNNNNNNNNNNNNNNNNNNNNNNNNNNNNNNNNNNNNNNNNNNNNNNNNNNNNNNNNNNNNNNNNNNNNNNNNNNNNNNNNNNNNNNNNNNNNNNNNNNNNNNNNNNNACUUUUGCUACUAACCGAGCUUUAUAUUUAUCUAAAGAUCCAUCAGGAUUAAAUUUCCUUUUGAAAAUCCAUUUACAACCAAUGGGUUUUAUACCAGGAGGUAAUCAUUUAAAAUCCAUGUAUUAUUUUUCAUAAUGGAAUCAAUUUCAACUUUUAUUGCAUCUUUCCAAUAUUUAGCAUUUGAAGAAGAGAUUAAAAUCAUCUUCAUAAGAAAAAUAUUCUUUCCUAGGUCUUUUUCUCCUUCUCAGUUCCUCAUUAGAGGUAAUUUCAUUAUUUAUUUCAAUAGGUUUAUGAGAAAUUUCAUCAGAUAAUGGAUAAAUAUAAUCAAAGAACUCAGCAUUCUUUGUCUCAGUUAUAGUAUUGUAAUCCAGCACAUCACUUUUUAAAACAAGAAAACUAUAUGCAGCACUAUGUUCUGCAUAUCCAAUUAGCAUGCAAUCAACAGUUUUAGAACCUAUUUUUCUCUUUUUAGGUUCAGGCAAAAGAACUUUACCAAGGAACCCCCACACUUUUAAAUAUUUUAAGUUAGGUUUAUAACCCUUCCAAAAUUUAUAAGUAGAUUUGCAUGUUCUUCUAUGUGGUAUUCUAUUUUGUAAGUGACAUGCAGAUAAAAUAGCAUCACUCCACAAAUUAUCAGGAGCAUUAGAACUAACUAACAUUGAGUUCAUCAUCUCUUUCAAUGUUCUAAUUUUUCUUUCAGAUACUCCAUUUGACUCAUGUGAAUAAAGCGGAGUUAUUUCAUGAAUAAUUCCAUUACUUUCACACAAUUCAUUUAAAGAUAAAUAUUCUCCACCUCUAUCUAAUCUAAUUCUCUUGAUUUUUCUACUAAGUUGAUUUUCAACCUCAGUUUUAUAAAAAAUAAAAGUAUUAAAAGCAUAAUCUUUAUUUCCAAGCAAAUACAACUUAGUAUAUCAAUAAAAAUCAUCAAUAAAGGUCAUAUAAUAUCUUUUACCACCUCUAGUCAUAGUCUGUUUUAGAUCGCCUAAAUCGGUGUGAAUUAAAGAUAACAAUUCAGUUUCUCUAUUUACAGAAAAAUAAGUCUUUCUAGUACUUUUAGCUUCAGCACAUAUUUCACACUUGUUAAUUUCAUUUGAGUCUAAAUCAGAUAUUAAUCCUAGCGACUGCAUUUGUCCUAGUCUAGCAUGUCACAAAGAAAUUGACUCAACCAUAUGAGCAGAAGAUGCAUUUUCAUUGCUAGUAUCAAAAAUAUUAAGCACAAAUAAAUCAUGGUUACAAUAUCCAUUGCCCGCAACAAUUUAAUUUUUGGUCAGUACGACCUCAUUACUUUCAAAUGAAACCUUAUCUCCAACUUUUUCUAAUAACCCCACAGUAACCAAAUUGAUUUGGAUAUUAGGAACAUGCUAAUAUUAUCUGAGUCAAAAUAAGAUAUUAAUCCUAGUGACUGAAUUUUCUUUAUAUACGCGAUAUUAACAUGUCCUAGUCUAGCAUGCCACAAAGAAAUUGACUCAACCAUAUAAGCAGAAGAAGAUGCAUUUUCAUUGCUAGUAUCAGAAAUAUUAAGCACAAAUAAACCAUGGUUACAAAAUCCAUUGCCCACAACAAUUUUAUUUUUGGUCAAUAUGACCUCAUUAUUUUCAAAUUAAACCUUGACUCCAUUUUUUCCUAAUAACCCCACAGAAAUCAAAUUUGUUUGGAUAUUAGGAACAUGCAUACAUCACUUAAUGCUAGAGUUUUACCAGAUGUGAGCUUGAGAAGAAUUUUUCCUUUUCCAAGAAUGCGCGUUGUUCUUGAGUCACCAAGAUAAAUAAAUUCUUCUUCCUCCUCAACUUGGAUGUAAAACAAAAAUUUAUUUUUGUUUGCGCAAAUGUGCCUAGUAGCACCAGAGUCUACCACCCAAUUUCUCAUACUGGCAACAUUAUUUAUUUGGGAAAUGACCGUAAUAAUUAUAUUAUUAGCUUUAAUCAAAUUUAAUUUUAACAUAGCAAGAUUGUCAUUUAUCUCAACUCUACUACUACAUUGAGGUGCAUUUUUCUUGAAGGUUUUAAUAUUAGCAUUAGAUAUGUAACCAUGUCUGUUCACAUACCUAUGUUUGGACAUUAGUAUUUGCCAAAUUUGUCGAUGCAAUGACGUAUUUGCAACACCAUGGAUAUCUGGCAAGACAGACGGAAUAAUAGCAGUAGAGAUAACACUAGAAUUGGUAGCACCAUCAAAAAAUUCCGUAGUAUUAUUGCUUGCCAUAGUUUCUUAGACUGUAGGGAAAUGACAUCGAAAAAUAACAACAAUUAUAAUACUACAAUAAUAUUAUUUAUGAGCGGAAAUACUCCAACUGGCUUGAGUCGUGCUAGGCACUGUCCUAAGAAACUAUCUCAGCAAUGUGAAAUGUUUCCCCAGGAUUAAACAAGUCUACCUCUAUUUUAUUUAGAGGAUACAUGAAUCAGCAAAAUUAGAUAAUAAAUCCACCAAUUUAGAAGAGAAAGAGCAACUAAUAUCUUAUGCCACUUAAAAUAUUAUAGAAUAAGAAAUUAGAAGGAGUGGGACGUAUAUGAGAGAAAGAAGAAAGAAGAAUUUCUUCUUUGCUAAUGAUUAGCUUUUUUAGUAUUUUAUGAUUGAAUAUUAAUGGCCUAAUCAUGGCUAUUUAUAGGCCUAAUGAAAGCUUCUUAGAUUGCCAUUUGUUUGAUUGCAUGAAGGAUGAUUGCCAUUUGUCCUUAGUUUCUAGAAAGCUUGCCAUAUGUAAAAUUCUCUACAUGCAUAUUGGAACUUAGACUUAUUUAUAUUAAAAAUACUACUACAUGAGGGUCUGUUCCGACGGGUUUGGGUCGAAACAUUUCUUCUUGAGGAAGAAGAACAAGGGGGGGGGGGGG